UAGAAUUUUACAGUACACGAGCAAAGAGGGAGAAUGCGGACAGGGAGUGUACCGACCCACAGGACGGUGCAUCAUUGUUCACUGGAAUCACUGUGCCGCUACUGGCCAACGGCUGGUGGGGGGUGCGUAAGGUAGACAGAGAAGCGCGGUGGGCGUGCACACAAGAGGGGGGCAGUGGAGUGGAGACUGAGAAAGGGGCGCAGGAGGCAAGACGAAUGGACAGAGGGAAAGGGCAAGAAAGAUGGGCGGAAGCAAACCAGCGGAAGACACAGAAAGUCACACAGCACAAAGAGAGGUAGGCAACCAGCACAAUUCUUUCUUUUUACGAAUAAUACAAUCACAACUCAGCGUCAAAACUGAAAAGGAAAAACAACGAAUUUGCACGAAUCCGUCGGACCAAACACUGCUAGCCAGAAAUUUGGUUGAAAUUUUGUUACCCAUUAAGUUAGAACAUUGGUAGAAACACAAUUUAGGGUUGACAAAAAGGUAUUAUUAUGACAAAAACUUGGCAACCAUCCAUUCAUAAAUCCAUGCCAAGCUUCUCCAUGGCUUUCCUGCUCUUCUUCUCACUCCUACUCUGCCUAGAUCUUCCAGUAGCAUCAACUCCUAGACCCAGAAAGCACAGACGCAUAAUGUCAGAUUUUCAACAUUUUGCACAAGACCAGAACUCUGCCACUUAAGACAUAGUUCACUUCAUGGAUUAUUAUCUGUAAUCAUUGGAAAUGGCAAGUGUAACAUUCAUAUAACUGUACAAAAAACAACUUUUCUCAAACAAGACUGAACAGAAACUGUGACAGCGAUCAAGUCUUCUUGGUACACAUUAUCAAUUUUUGAAUUUUGAACAAGAUAUCCCUCUUAGGGUAAGGUACAAAGGAUAGCUAGUCGCAUAAUGGUUAAUGGAAAUUCCAGCAUCAUUUCAUACUAAAUGCAUUGAAAUGGAUCGCCUACCAAGAUUACACUUGCAAAAGCAAGAUUUUACAUUCACGAUUUGCUCCUACCAAACUAAAUGCUAUAGCUGAACAUUCAUGUACAUGUUAAUCCAGGUUGAAAUCGAUACAAGGUGCAACCUCAGUACAGAGCUAAAUAAUUUAGGAGUAAGUGAAUAUGAUACGAUUCCAAAGAAUUGAGAAUAUAAACCACAAACACAUAGUGAUAGUACAGAAAGAACAGAAUAUUAGAGAAUACAAACUGGUCAGUGUCUAAUCUUCAAAUAAAAAACAGGUCAAAGUGAACCAAAAUAGGUAAGUACAGAGUUUGUAUCAUUGAGGAACAGAUCAGAAACAAUUUCUGUAUUAUGGAAAUGCCAAAAUUUAGCCCAAUAGAAACACAUAAUCCAUUGAUUCAGGAGUUGAAUAAGCAACGUUUAGUUUCAAAUUUGGGUAUGGGCAAUAACUUCAGAUGUUUAAAUUUAUAUUGGGAAUUAGAAGGCAGCAUUACAAUAAGAAAUGGGCUUAUCUUUAACUAAGUAGCUACUUGAACUGAAUAGAAGGAACUGCAGAAUUUCAUCAUACCCGCAACGUCAUCGUCAUCUUUUUCAUCCUCAUCCUCAUCGUUGUCAUCAUCGUCCUCAACGAUAGGCUCAUCUCCCUGAGAGUGUGCAUUACAAAUAUCAUAUUGCUUGAACAUCAUAAGUAUUAAACACUAAGCAGCACUCCCUCAGAACAGAGGAUAUGCAGAUGGAGGAAAGCAGAGUUAGCGAUAUUCAGAAAUGAAAAAACGGUAAACGGUCUACCUACAGUAUUAUCCUUCCAGCAUGAAGAUGUGAGUACAUAAUAAGUAGCAUCAGCACAAGAUAGACAGAAACGACACUCCAAAAGAAAAAGAAAAAGGGAAUAGUGUGUACAUUACAAGGAACUGUUUGUCUGCAUUGACAACAGAAGCUAUGCUCAAAAAUUGAUAUUGUUGGUACAGGAAAUGUGCCAUACAUCAUAUAAACAUACACAAUUACACACAUGAUACUCAGAUCACAACUGACUUCCAAAGCUAAUUAACAAACAGAGUCACAUUUCUACUGUAGCAAUCGCCAAAGGUGACUGAUUUAUCCAUGCUCGCUUAAAAUUCCUUUCAGACUUGUAUCGACAAGACAAAGCGGUGGCAUUUCAGUUUACAACACUAGAGAUCUCUCAGAAAGGGAACCACAAACCGUACAUAACAAGGGCAACUGACAAACAAGUCACAAAGCAUUAUCAACCUCUGAAAUUAAACUCGUAGGCGCACAAGCAAGCGCGAAUUCCGCACAUGAAGAGUGAAAAAUACCACGCCUUCAGCCACCUCGGUGGAGGUUCAUGGAGGCCAGGCCUCGCCUGCUUCUCCGCGAAAACGCAGAAAGUUGGACCAAAGCACAGCAAGUAGCCUCAGGCUGGCCACGGCGCAGCUCUCCGCCCAAAGCCGUGCGACCUAGGCGACAUCGACGGACGAGAUCUAGCGCCCUAACGCCAACACCGCAACGGAACGCGCCGAUCCAGGGCCCGAACAAGCAUGGGAGGCGGAGAAAUUUUCGGUCGACGCGUCACCAAAUCGGAGAGGACUCGGGGGAGGGGGGUCGGAAUGGGGAGGAUCACCUCGAUGUUGUGCUCCUCGAGCUGGGCGCGGAGCAGCUCCGCCUGCAGCUCGGCGGCGGUCAUGGUGGCGGGUAAAAGCUUGGCGGAGGGGAAAGUAAAACCCUAGCUUAGCUAGGAGGGAUUUGGGAGAUGGAGAGGGCAACAGGCGAAGCGAAUGCGAGGGGAGGAGGAAGAGAAGAGAAGAGACCGGCUUGACUCCUGUGGGGUUUUGGUGCCCCCUGGUGGUCAUCGGUGGGCGUAGACUGGGCCAAGACCGUGCCGUUUCCUUAGCCCAUCUUUGCAAUGUGGCCCAAUGAAAGCACAGUUUUGCUUCCGCAAGAGGCAUGGUUUUGCUUAGUUGAGAGGCACGGCCGUGUCUCUCGAAAACGGAAAAAAACAUGUUUUCCCUUUUUUAUCCUUUCGUGAGAGGCAUGACUUUGCUUACUCGAGAGACACAAUUAUGCCUCUCAGAAACGAAAAAAAAACAUGUGUUUCUCUUUUAUUUGUCCUUCUAUAAGAGGCAUGGUUUUGCUUCCACAAGAGGCACGGCCGUCCUUCUCGGAAACGGCUUUCGGAAAAGAAAAAAUGUGCUCCCAGUUCAGUUUUUUGUGGAAAAAAAGUUCGUCAAAACCUAGCAACAUGGCAUCUAGUUUUGAAGAUCUCGGCGUGAGGAAUCCAACGGUGAAAAAUGUUUGAGAUUUGGACGCACGAUUUAUGAAACAAAACGUUUUGAAAUAAAUGGAUCUACGAAAAAGGAGAAAACUCGAAAAUUGCGACAAAUGGCGCACAUGCAGCGCGCUAAUUGUCCCGACCUGAAAAGGUGAGAGUGAUCUUUGGAAGGUGUACUCCCUAAUUGAUGAUUUCGCCUCCAAAGAGUAGGUAUUAGGCGAAAUCUCUAUUCACUGCAUUCUACGACAAACUGUCGAGCUUUUGCAUAGGUGGGACGCCGAGCGAACGGGGAAGAGCCGGCCCACUUUUGCAUUGAGAAGGAUCCUAUUUUGGGAACCUUUUGCAAUGUCCCCUGUCGGUUAUACCUGUUUUGUGAACCUCCCAGAAGGUUCCUAACCUGUUUUUCCUUCUGGUUUUUAAUUUCGUCAUUUCUUUUUUGUCAUUUUACCUUUUUUCUUUUUUAAAAAAUGUUCAGCAAUUCCAUUUCUAUUGUUCAAAAUUUCAAAAGCUGUCUGAAAAUUACAAAACAUGUUCCGUUCCAAAUUUUGUUCAUAAAAUUAAAAAAUGUUCGCAUUUUCGGAAAAUGUUCAGGUAUUUCACGUAAGGUUCCCGUUUUACAAAUAUGCUCAUAAAUUCAAAAAGUGUUUGCAUUUUUUAAAAUGUUCGGUCCUUUCAAAAAAUGUUCUUAUUUUUUUUGCAAAUAUUGUUCUAUGUUUUAGAAAAUGGUGUUUUUUUUCAAAUUUGUUCAUAGACGCAAAAAUUGUUCGCAUUUUCCAAAUAUGUUUGUGUUUUUCAAAAAAUGUUCAGAAAUUAAUUGCUGUUUCCCAUUUUUCAAAUUUAUUCAUAAACUAUAAAAGUGUUUGAGUUUUAAAAAAUAUGAUGGCAUUCGUAAAAAUUGUUCAGAAUUUUUAGAAAAAUUUCCCGUUUAAAAAAAAAAGAUUAAAAGAUUGUUUGUGUUUUCCCAAAAAAAAUCAGUAAUUCAAACAAAAUAAAAAUAUGUUCAUAAAUGCAAAAGGUGUUUAAGUUUUCAAAAAAUAUUCUUGUUUUUCUAAAUUGUUCAGAAUUUCAAAAAAUGUUCCUGUUUCUAAAACUUUUUUAAAUUAAAAAAAUGUUUGCACUUUUUUAAAAAGUUUACAUUUUACUCGUGUUGUUUAGAAAACAUUCUUAUUUUCAAGAAAUACUUUCCUUUGAAAAAAUUAUUUAGAGUUUUCCAAGAAUAGUCCAAAAUUUCAAUAGUGUUCGGAUCUACCAGGGAAUAUAGUUCUCAAACUUUCGUGUUGUGUAUUUGUCGCGCUGUCAGGUCAACUAGUUUCUUUGCCCGCAUACACUCAUCUGGUCUAGAGUUCGUAUCGUGUUGGAGGAACGCCUUUUCUUGGACUUUACACCGUGCAAGUACAGGUCGCAGUGGCCCGCCUAGUCGAGGAUUCUGCCCAUGUGUCAUUGCCCUAUUUGUCGCAAAAUGCAACAUAUAUGAGCUCCCAUUAUUACGCCUGCCUAGUAGCCACCAAAGCUGGCCAAACGGGCUGGGCCAACAAGGCCACACCACGAGCACGCCCGCAUGGCCCGCCAUGGGCCAGGCACGGCAUGCCUUGGGGUAUGCCUGCACUUGGAGGCUGGGCACGCGGGCCGGCAGGGCACUCGAGCCGGCCUGGCACAGCCUGUUUAUUUACUUUUUAUUUUUUUAGAUUUUUUCUAGGUAUGUUCUAAAAUCCAGCCCAAUAGGCCUAAGAAACAGCACGAUAGGCUGCAAAAUGUGCAGUCUAGCAUGCUAAACAUGCCAUGGGUUGCCCCGUUUAUUAGCUAGGCCGUGCCUGGGUUGGAGGACACAACACACGGGCUGGAAUGACACGGCCCGUCUAAUAACUGUGCCAUGGCGAGCCGUGCCGUGCAGGCCCGAUUAGGGCGGGCCUGGUCGUGCCGGCAAGUAUGGCCAGCUCUGAUAGCCACAACUUAUCUGUUGACGUCAUAUUACUUUUGUUUUUAUUUUUUCUUCCUUUUUUAUUCAUAAUUUUAUUUUACUUUUUUUAAUUUAUUUAAACUUCCAAUUAUUCUAAAUGUAUAUAUGGAAAAAAUGUUUUACAUAAAUUAUAAGAAAUAUUGAUCUUGUAUUUAGAAAAUGUUAAACGUGCAUAUAAAAAUGUUUUUGAUGUAUAAGAAAGAUGUACAACUGUGAAUCAAAAAAUGUAGAAAAUGUUAAUCAUGUGUGUGAAAAAAAUUCAUCAUGUGUACGAAAAUGUUUAUACAUUGUAAAAUAUAAGUUCAUGUAAUUAAAGCAAUGUUUCAUACACUAAAACAUGUAGGUUAGAUUUACGAAAAUGAUCAGAAGUUUCUUUCCUUUAUAUUUACAAAGAUGUUCACAAGUUUCUUUUUUCCCACUAAACGGAAACUUGUUAACAUUUUUGAAGAUGUAACGUUUUGCAAGUUUCAAAAAUGUGUUCAGGAAAUUUUUCAAAAAAAUGUGUGUACAAUGUAAAAAGAGAAGUUUGCAUAGUUCAGAAAAAUGGUUUUAUCAAUAAAAAAUGUUCAAACCUUUAUUAGAACAAUAACAGGUAUUUGAAAAAAAUGUUCAAAACAUAUUUUUUUAAUGAAAAAAUGUUAAAAAUUUAUAAAAAAUGCUUUAGACGUAUACGAAAAAUAUACUACGUGUAUGAGAAAAUGGAGAUCAACACGUGACGGGAGUUGCUACCAGUGAAGCGAACUCGUCCACGGACUUAUCGUCGUCCAUGACCAAGGUCUCAUAGUUUCUUAGGGAAGUUUGGAGAUUCACUUGCUUGACGUGGGUGUGCCUCUCGAACAUGAGCUUCAAAGCAUCCCACGCCCCUUUCGUCAUUACUUUUGGCGAUCAGGUGCUGAAGCGCAUCUAUCCUAGGUCCUAGCUGGCUCAUGGAUAUCGUCUAGUGGCGAGAAUUCGUCGUUGGCCGCGUGGAAGGAGGAGGAAGGAAGAAGGACAAAGGGUAGAAAAGGAAGAACUAUAGAUGUAGUAUCAUACACUAGUAUCAUAUGCAUGAUACUAGUAUAUGAUAUUCUCCACUAUGACCAGCCUCAUUGUGGAUUGCAUGCAUCCAGGAGGACCUUCAUUCAUGUCUGGACCUGAGCGCAGUCGUGCCUGGAUGGGGCGGUGAGGUGCUGCCACUUGUGUGAACGCAGUGGACAAGAGAAGUGUUGACUAAUCAACUGUAGUACCAAUACAAUCUCGCCGACAGCGCCAUAAAUGAAACGACUAUGAUCGAGCGAGCCCAACCAAAAAUCAUUAUUGGUGCCGGAGUACGGAGCAUACGAUACCCAUCGCACGCACGGCGCUCAUCGUUACCGCAUUAACUAAUCCCAACUUAAUCUUACUACACCCUAACAACAAAAUUAACGAGAGACGUUACAACAUCACCAGGCUACUCCAAAUGAGGCACAGUACGGCGCAACAUCACCACGCUCGUGCGUCCCGAUCUUCUAGAGUGCCGGAGCAGAGCGGUCAGGUCGGCGGCUGGUGGGUCGCGCCCGCCUACUGCAUGGUUCAACCGACGGCGACGGCGGACGCGAGCGUGGCGAUGGAUGGCGUCUCCCCUCGUCAAUCCCCGACAGCGAGCUUCCAACCCCGAUCCAGCGACCGCCAGCGACCCGACCUCCCGUCCCGUGCAGCACUUCUCCCCGACCCACCCGCUGACAGGUGGGCCACGGCGAGCCGCGCCCCACGAGGCAGCGGCGCCGUGGCGACGAGGCAGUGGGCUCCUUCAUGGCGCUGUUAUUCCGUCCGCGCCGCCGGUCGCCGUCGGGCGCGCCCGCUGAGCGAGGGCUCGGUACAGGAGGCUCGUGCACCGGGUCCACGAGCGAUUCAUCAGCUCACUCUUCCCGCGGUGCACGGGACCUGGCGCCGGGGCGUGGGAGAGUGACCGGACGCUCACGGGCCUCUCCGUCUCCGAGUCCGGCGGUCGCUCACCCGUCCAGCCAGCUGCGUGGAGCCUCUCACAGGAUCGGCUGCGCCACCGCAUCGGUGCCAUCCAACAUUCUUUGCUUGUGUUGCGUGGAUGAUGGAUAGGCACGGCUAUGCUUUUCCAAAACCAAGUGAAACUCGAGGCUCGGGAGUCGUUACAGAUUGAUUUGUUUUUUCGUCUGACUCGUGAUCGACUUGAAACUAAAUGAAAUGAGCUGAAUAUGGACAGUUUACAACAUAAUCUUGAUUUGUAUUUAAAGAAAACAGGAUAAUUUACUAUCAAAUCAGUCGUGUACAAUUUUUCUUCAUUUUAUCUUGUACUAGCAAACGUGAAAAACUUAACUAAGCGCGAAAACAUUUAGGCCUCAAUAUGUUAAGUGGCCAGCCAUGUGUUAAAUGCAUGUCCUCUUAUUUCCUGCUAAAGUUUGAGAGCAGUCAUACCUUCGUUUUCUUCUUUUGCUAGUUCAUCGAUGUUCUCUUUAUUUUUGAUUUUCUUGGUUGUGACAUGUUACAUGUAAUCAGCGAGUCGGUUGGUCAUCAGUAGAAGCACUGUGAAGCACACGAGGCCACUGGCUCGGUUUGGCUUAAAGAACGUGUUGGUUGCGCUAGCAUGUGGGGGGUCGACUCAAGGAUAUAAAAUGUUAGAUACAAUACAUCUUUUUAAAGUUCCCAUCACAAUAGUAAAGUUCUCUACAACUUUACAUGGUUCAAUUAACGAUCAGUAUGAGAAGGAGUUGGUUUCUAUCAUGGCCGUUGAUCUUAGACUAUUCAUUUUGGAUACCGAAAUACAACUGGCUAUUUCAUGGUAAUGCAUAUACUAAAGACAAAUCAGAAAUGUCAAUGGAGAUUUCUUUAUUCUUUCAAACUGUAAUCAUGCAUGCCAUUUGCAAAACAUAGUUCGGCGCUGCACCUAGUUGCAAUGUCACCGUCUACUUCAAUUUGCUUCUUCAUCUCAACUAGGUUCAUUGUAUAUCCUCUCUUUACAUGUCUACUUAAUCCGCUAUCAUCUCAUACGGUAUUAUACAACAACUUUUAUGAACCAACUAUUCAUCCCUCCCAUACGGGAGCGGCUAGGGCCAAGCUUCAUCCCCUCUAGGCUCCGCCGACGAGCUCAUGGACUCGCCUCCUCUCUAUCCGUUGAUCCGACGGUUAGCGGUGGGGAGGGGAGUCCCAAUAAAUCCUCUAAGCUCCCACGCAUGUUCUUCAUCAUUUACUUGUUUUGAUCCAUGUGAUAGACAAACUUGAAAAUCCUCUCACAAUUGUUGUAGUUGUGAAUAACAUUAAAAGGUUGGCAAGGAUGACAUAUGUAUUUCAAACAUGAUGACGUGCAUUUGAGAACAAAAUUGGCAUGAUUGAUUCGGUUUUUUUCACAUAAGAGCAUGCAGCUUGCUGAUCCUCAGAUGUUAAAAUGCCUAGGAAACCUACAUGCCAAUACUAGUCCGAGACAUACAACCUACAACCAUGAAAUUGCAACAUUCAAGAUAACAUGACAAAUGGAUUGAUUUGCAACCCAACACCCUAUAAUCAGGACACAAUUCCACCUAGCAACACCUAGUUAGUUAACUCCAUGAUAGCGCUAACAACGUCACCAUCCUCAGCCUUGAGCCCUUGCACGCCCUGGAUACACGAAGGCUUGCGUCAUCACGAUCUCGAUGUAGUUCUUGUUAACGCUUAUGUAUAGACCUCCUCGUUGGCCCAGGCUACUACAGAAGGAUCACCCUCCGAGACGAUGCUACUCGGGCCCAACACCUUGAACUGCUCUACCGCCUAUGUCCGCAGCUGAUUGCUACGGUCUCCUUCUUCGCAUCCUCGAACGUGGUGUUGAUCUGUGAGUAUCGGCUCUUGCAGACAUAUGGUUUGGAGAUGGCGAACAUAAGCCUGCAAUGGUGUGGCGAAGUUGAGAAAAUGAAACAACAUAUGUGUUUACCUUGGAUGCGAAAGCCAAUGAAUUCAUGCACCAUGAUGUUGAGAUUUUCUAUUUGAUGGUCUAUUUAUUUCAAAUUGGAUUUAGAUGAUGUGGGGUAAGAUUUGCAACCUAGCAGGGAGCAAAAAGAAAAAAAAGGCUACAAACAAGCAGGACAACAGUGGGCUAUCCUGUUAACGCAAACAUGCAUGAUCCGUCGAUUUUCAUCUUGAAGGCAACGUGGAACUACGAGGGCCGGGAGGCGAAGAUUCAAGCAUUUUCAACUUCCACAAAUUGUAGAUGGUGUAUGAGACUACUACAUUGGGUACAUCUCUACCUUUUUGUAUAGGAUCCGAAUGCACCCUUCCCACCAUCUGGACAAAUGUGUGUUGAGUUUAAAUGCUAUGCUGAUCCUGGACAAUGGAGCAGAGCACACAUGUGUAGCCAAGCCUUGGUCACAAAUAUUAAGGGAUGGAUAGCUAAUUCUCUCACCAACUUUCCUUAGUGUAAGCAUGGCCGACCCUUAUAAAACACACACUCCUCAGCUAAACAAACAUGAUGGGGGUCGAGGCUCCCGAGACAGAGGAACUUCAGAUAAAUAGUGAGGGUGGAUGGAUGCAAUCCAUUAUGAAAUAAGAAUGGGGGGCAUAUGGAAACACAUCAUCUCCCAAAAUCAUAUGGGGCAUAGGAAAACUGAAAAAACCAGGCAUUUGCAAAGAGAGAUGGCAGGGGAACACAAACGUGAACACGAAGGAGUGAACAUGAGAAGAUGAAAACCCUUCAAGAAUAGUCCCAAGAAAGAGGGCGACAUGUGAAGCAUUGCGGCUUGGACUCGAGGAGUUUCAGAAACUAGCGAAGGAGAAAGCGUUGGCUAUUGCGAGACACCUUCCUAAGGAACAUGACCCCAUCGCCUAACGCCUGGUCGGGCUCCCCUCCUCAAUCCUCAAUUAGUCAAUUGACUUCCUCAUCAGCUCCAGCGACUACGACGGCCCUCCGGAUGCCGAUGCAUACUACCACCGCUACAAAGACGACAAGGGGAAGGGCUAAGCAAAGAAGUGUCAAAAUUUAUCCCAAUCUAUUAUCAACUCGUUUCUAGUUUAUUGUGCCACAUCACUCCUUAGCCUUGGUAUGAUUUCUGGAUCGAUCACCUUCUGAAAGAUUGCAUUGAGGAAUGCACAUAGCUUCACAAUGGCUAAUCGGACGUUUUCCGGUAGAAGCCCCCUCAAUGCAACCGGAAGCAGUUGCGUCAUAAUCACGUGGCAGUCAUGAGACUUUAGGUUCUGCAACUUUUUCUCUGGCAUAUUUAUUAUUCCCUUUAUAUUCAACGAGAAGCCAGUCGGGACCUUCAUACUGAGCAGGCAUUCAAAGAAGAUUUCUUUCUCUUCUUUCGUAAGAGCGUAGCUGGCAGGACCUUCAUGCUGCUUCGGAGGCAUGCCGUCUUUUUCGUGCAAACGUUGCAGGUCCUCCCGUGCCUCAGGUGUAUCUUUUAUCUUCCCAUACACGCCCAAGAAGCCUAGCAGGUUCACGCAAAGGUUCUUCGUCACGUGCAUCACGUCGAUUGAAGAGCGGACCUCUAGCACUUUCCAGUAGGGUAGGUCCCAAAAUAUAGAUUUCUUCUUCCACAUGGGUGCGUGUCCCUCAGCGUCAUUCGGAACAGCUAGUCCGCCGGGACCCUUUCCAAAGAUUACGUGUAAAUCAUUGACCAUAGCAAGUACGUGAUCACCGGUACGCAUGGCGGGCUUCUUCCGGUGAUCUGCCUCGCCUUUGAAAUGCUUGCCUUUCUUUCGACAUUGAUGGUUGGUCGGAAGAAAUCGACGAUGGCCCAGGUACACAUUCUUCCUGCUUUUGUCCAGGUAUAUACUUUCAGUGUCAUCUGAACAGUGCAUGCAUGCGUGGUAUCCCUUGUUUGUCUGUCCUGAAAGGUUACUAAGAGCGGGCCAAUCGUUGACGGUUACAAACAGCAACGCGUGCAGGUUAAAUUCCUCCUGUUUGUGCUCAUCCCACGUACGUACAACGUUUCCAUUCCACAGCUGUAAAAGUUCUUCAACUAAUGGCCUUAGGCACACAUCAAUGUCGUUGCCGGGUUGCUUAGGGCCUUGGAUGAGAACUGACAUCAUAAUGAACUUCCGCUUCAUGCACAUCCAAGGAGGAAGGUUAUACAUACAUAGAGUCACGGGCCAAGUGCUGUGAUUGCUGCUCUGCUCCCCGAAAGGAUUGAUGCCAUCCGCGCUUAAACCAAACCAUACGUUCCUUGGGUCAGCUGCAAACUCAGCCCAGUACUUUCUCUCGAUUUUUCUCCACUGCGACCCGUCAGCGGGUGCUCCCAACUUCCCGUCUUUCUUACGGUCCUCACUGUGCCAUCGCAUCAACUUGGCAUGCUCUUCGUUUCUGAACAGACGUUUCAACCGUGGUAUUAUAGGAGCAUACCACAUCACCUUCGCAGGAACCCUCUUCCUGGGGGGCUCGCCGUCAACAUCACCAGGGUCAUCUCGUCUGAUCUUAUACCGCAAUGCACCGCAUACCGGGCAUGUGUUCAGAUCCUUGUACGCACCGCGGUAGAGGAUGCAGUCAUUAGGGCAUGCAUGUAUCUUCUGCACCUCCAAUCCUAGAGGGCAUACGACCUUCUUUGCUGCGUAUGUACUGUCGGGCAAUUCGUUAUCCUCUGGAAGCUUCUUCUUCAAUAUUUUCAAUAGCUUCUCAAAUCCUUUGUCAGGCACAACAUUCUUUGCCUUCCACUGCAGCAAUUCCAGUACGGUACCGAGCUUUGUGUUGCCAUCUUCGCAAUUAGGGUACAACCCUUUUUUGUGAUCCUCUAACAUGCGAUCGAACUUCAGCUUCUCCUUUUGACUUUCGCAUUACGUCCUUGCAUCGACUAUGACCCGACGGAGAUCAUCAUCAUCGGGCACUGGUUCCUCUUGAUCUUCAGCAGCUUCCCCCCUUGCAGCAUCAUUGGGCACAUCGUCUGGUUCCUCUUGAUCUUCAGCAGCUUCCACCGUUGCAGCAUCACCGUAUUCAGGGGGCACAUAGUUGUCAUCGUCCUCUUCUUCUUCGCCGUCUUCCAUCAUAACCCCUAUUUCUCCGUGCCUCGUCCAAACAUUAUAGUGUGGCAUGAAACCCUUGUAAAGAAGGUGGGUGUGAAGGAUUUUCCAGUCAGAGUAAGACUUCGUAUUCCCACAUAUAGGGCAUGGACAACACAUAAAACCAUUCUGCUCGUUUGCCUCAGUCACUUCGAGAAAAUCAUGCACGCCCUUAAUGUACUCGGAGGUGUGUCUGUCACCGUACAUCCAUUGCCGGUUCAUCUGCGUGCAUUAUAUAUAAUUAAGUGUGUCAAAAACCAUUACAGAACAUCAUGAAUAGAUAAUUAAGUGACCAAAUUAAUAGAAGUUCAUCAUCACAUUAAAACCAAAGUACAUACAUAGUUCUCAUCUAACAACAUAUAUAUAGCUCUCCAGAGCAUCUAAUUAAUUAAACCAUACAUUGAAACUAUGUAAAACAUUUCAAUGCGAAAACAAAUGCGAUCAUAAUCGCAACCAAGGUAACAAUUGUUCCAACGACAUAAUGAUACCAAGCCUCGGUAUGAAUGACAUAUUUUCUAAUCUUUCUAAUCUUCAAGCGCAUUGCAUCCAUCUUGAUCUUGUGAUCAUCGACGACAUCCGCAACAUGCAACUCCAAUAUCAUCUUCUCCUCCUCAAUUUUUUUUAUUUUUUCCUUCAAGUAAUUAUUUUCUUCUUCAACUAAAUUUAACCUCUCGACAAUAGGGUCGGUUAGAAUUUCCGGUUCAACCACCUCCUAGAUAAAUAAAAUCUAUGUCACGUUGGUCGGUAUAUUUGUCAUAAACAAUAAAUGAACCAAAUAGUUAUAAAAAGCUAAUAUAUACCACAUCCGAAUCAUAGACAGGAUGAGGGCCGACGGGGGCGGAUACCAAAACCAUCGCACUAUGUAAUAAGAAGGAAUAAUAAAAGUAACAAAAUUAGACAAGUAACUAUCUAAAGUAAGAAUUUUUUCCUUUCAGAAAGAAGAUAAGAACAAGAGGCUCACCACGGUGGUGUUGGCGACGAGAUCGGCGCGGGCGAUUGACGGCGGUGAAGACGGGGACGGGACGUGACGGACCGCUAAACCUAGACAAAUCUCGGGGAAAAUGGAGCUUGGAGGUCGAGUUUCGAGAGAACAAAGAUUAACUAGUGUGGCUCAGACAUUUCAUCGAACACCUCAUGUGCAUAGGAGGUGAGCUAGAGCACCCAAAUGCCCUCCCCUCGCCGGCCAGAAAAAACAGAGCACUGUGGAGUGCUCUGCUGUGGCGAUGGGGUAUAUAUAGGGAACUCUUUGGUCCCGGUUCGUGGCACCAACCGGGACCAAAGGCCUUUGGUCCCGGUUGGUGCCAUGAACCGGGACCAAUGCCCCUUUAGUCCCGGGCCUUUGGUCCCGGUUGGUGCCAUGAACCGGGACCAAUGCCCCCUUUAGUCCCGGUUGGUGGCACCAACCGGGACCAAAGGCCUUGUGCUGCCCCGCGUCAAAAGUUUAGUCCCACCUCGCUAGUUGAGAGAGCUCGAGAGUGGUUUAUAAGCGCUGCUGCGCCCACCCUCUCGAACUACUCUCAACUGCAGGCUUUCAGGCCUAACUGUUCUCUUUGCCUGUGGGGCCUACUGGGCCUUCUGCGGGCCUGAAUCCUGGCCCAUGGAUGGGUUUCUAGUCGUAUUCAGGCCGUGGUGGCCCAGUAGGUGGCAUAAUUUUUUUCCUCUGUUUUUUUCUCUUUUGCUUUAUUUGUUUUGUUUUGUUUGUACUUACAACAAAAAACUUAUUUAUUUUAUUUCUAAUUACUUAUGUAUUUUACUUUAAUUAUUUUAUUUUUAUUUAUUUUACUGCUGCUAUUUUUAUUUAUUUUACUGCUGCUAUUUUUACUUAAUUUAUUAAGGUUUAUUUAUUUUAGUUACUAUAGUUUAUUUUAUUUUAUUUUAUUAAGGUUUAUUUAGUUUUAUUUAUUUUAUUAAGGUUUAUUUAUUUUAUAAAUAUAAAAAAAUGAACAUAGAUGCGCUUAUAGAGAAAAUUCAACCUAAAUUCAUAAUAAAUUUCUAUGAAAUUUAAUGUGAAUUUAGGUCAAAUUCCCUGUAUAAGGGCAUCUAUUUUCACUUUAAGAGGAGCUCAACAAGGCAGAGAGGGACGGGCUUAUAAACUGGUGUGAGCGCCCUUCGGUUGGCGAGGUGGGACUAAACACUGGCCGCAACUAGGACCAGCCCUUUAGUCCCGGUUUGUGGUAGGAACCGGGACUAAAGGGUUGUGGGCCAGGAGCGUGGCCCAUUGGUCCCGGUUUGUCCCACCAACCGGGACCAAAGGGUCCGGACGAACCGGGACCAAUGCCCCCACGAGGCCCGGCAGGCCCCUGGCCGCACGAACCGGGACCAAUGCUCACAUUAGUCCCAGUUCGUGACUGAACCGGGACUAAUGUGAAUAUUGCCCUGUGACCAAAGCCCAGUUUUCUACUAGUGUUCCUUCCUCCGGUUGUAUAAUGAACUUGCCAAUCCGUUCGUAUCAAUGCUAUAAUUUAUCUAUGUUGUCUGUACAUACAUUAUAUGGUGUUGUAUGGAUUUGAAGGUUUGGAUAGGAGAGGGUUGGCUGUAGACAUGGACAAAUAAUGGGCCAGCCGGCACUAUCCACGGACAGUAGUUAGAGAUGUAACACGAAGAAAACCUCCUAUUCUCCAGAUGCAACAUUAAAUAUGACACGACCAAAGACUAUGAUCUAAUAUCCUCCCUUAUAAACGAAUGCUAACUACAAGUUUGCCCCCAGCUCGCAUGUAACUCACGGCCAUGGCCCCCAGCAAUCAUUAGGUUGGUCAUAAUGAGAGUACAUAGCUAGUAUCAUGUAUGUCAACUAGAUUUUUCUAUUGAGGUGUCACAUAAUUAAAUAAGGAAAUAGAGGAUUGAAUAUCAUGGUAUCAUACCGUAUCAUAUUAAAUGAUGUGUUAGUAUGUGUUAUACAUGAAAAAAAUGAGAUCACUAUGAUACUAUUCACUCCAAUCUCCGUCUCCUCAUCUCCCUGAAACACCCCCUUCCGAUCAAAUCUGGAGCUCCAUAGCGCAAUGCUCGACGGCGGAUACGACAACGAUGACCCCGUCGACUGGGAGUCAUUGUUCCGUGAGGCGGCGGCGGGCGACGACGAAAAUGUCGGCAGCGGGAGCACGCUGCGUCGGUCGCGGCUGGAUAAGGGCGGAAGCGAAAGCUACGGCUCCACGCUAUCCACCAUCGCCCGACGACGCAGUGCAGGCGAUGGCGCCCCGUUGCGUCUGCGGAACUCCGGGCCCUCCGCGCCCCUUCCGGUCCGCCGCCCCAAUGCCUACUCCGAGCGCUCGUCUACCUGCUCCGGCUCGUGCCACCGGCCACAUUUGGGUCCUCGUUCCUGGCCGACCCCAUCGGGGUUGUGGAUGUCCAAAUCCGAAGUUCGUAGCGCACGCCGUGAGAGGUAGCGGGAGAGGGAGAGUGGCGACGAUAGAAGCCAUGUCCUCCCGCCAGUUGCGCAUGAGCGCGCUGGUAGGUCGAAUGACUAGCUCCUUGCGCAUGUCCUCUGCCUCUCGCUCACUGCGGCAGCGACUGACACGCGACGUCUCCAUCGCACGAACGCCAAGGCGCUCUGGCUCGCCAUUGAUCAGUCUGAGCGCGAGGCAAUGGUGGAUGCCACGACCAAAGCCAACGGGCCCAGCAAGCGAAGGAGCAGACGUGUGUCCUCCGUUGGUUGACCGGCGUCAUCUCCUCCGACGACGACUCUCAUGUCUCCCACGACGAUGCCCCUCCCGUUGCCAAUGCCUACACGUAGGUCUACAGUCGCACCAGCAACCUCAAGGUGAAGGGACCAAUGGGGAAGUGGUGAUAUCCCGACGCCCCUAUCUGUCUCCGUUUUCAUAAAUGUCCAUCAACGUAGUUUCUCAUGUUACAUGGGUUGCAUUGUUUUGAGGGGCUGAAUUUAAGGUAUCCGGUUGUUUGACGUGGCCAUGUGAGAGUAAAACCGGUCACUGUCUGCGGACUGGUCCGCGAACAUUUCUGUAGAUGCUCCUAGCUCUGCAUAUGUGCCCUCCAUGUCAGAUAUGACCUCUGUCACUGAAUUCAACCAAAAUCUCUUCCAGUUCUGUGCUAGUGGGAACCGAGAUUAACACCAAUGUACCACUAGUAGCACGUUGCAAGCUCGUCACUGCAUUAACUAAUCCUGACCUCAAUCGGUCACCAUUCAUAACAACUACUAGAUUAAGACAAGUAAGAGCCGUUCGAAUGUCGAAGAUGGCCACAAAUGAAGUACAGUAGGCCAAACCCCAAACAGGGCUGCGCGCGUGCGUCCCGAUCUUCUAGAGAGGCGGAGCAGAGCAUGCGGUGAGGUCAGGUCGCGCCUGCCCUGCUGCAUGGUCCGAACGAUGGCGACGGCGGACGCGAGCGUGGCGAUGGAUGGCGUCUCCCCUCGUCAAUCCCCGACAGCGAGCUCCCAACCCCGAUCCAGCGACCGCCAUGCUCUGCCCACCACAUGGCUCGGUUCAUCGGCGGCGCCGGUCGCCGUCGGGCGCGCCUGCUGGGCGAGGGUUCAGUACAGUCUCCUGCACCGGGUCCAUGAGCGACUCAUCAGCUCACUCUUCCGGGCUCGCUCCGUAGUACGGUGGCAACGGGUUCGUAAUUUACGCGAGGGCACGUGGCCGAGCUGGACAGACCCCGGAGAACCCGUCCGUCCUUGCGGGCGUGCGUGCACCCGCUCCCGUGGACCCGACAAUCCCACUCGCUGACCGCUGGCAGGGACGAAUCCAAGGGGGGACGAGGGGGGGGCGAGACCCCCCCUAACGAUCUCAUUUUACUCGGUAGCGAUUAGCAGGUCGGUAGAAAAAAGUGAUAUUUAGCUAAUAUCGCCCCCCCUGACCACCUGAAGCCCAACUAAAUCACAAAGCCCAUCUUUAACACCCCGCAGGAAAUAGCCCAGCACGAAGGGAGACGGUCAGAUCGUUUGAUUUUCCAUCGUGCGAUGCCUGUCGCCAAGGUCUAGCUGUCUAGGGUAGUUCCUGACCAGCGCCGUUUCAACCUGAGUCCAUGACCAGCGCCGUUUCAAUCUGAGCUCUAGGGCAGUUCAUGACCAGCGCCGUUUCAGUUUGAGCGGAGAAUCCUUGCUUGGACGAGAUCGCCUCUAACGUGAACGAGGGCCAUCUUGCGCGGACGCGCGGCCGGCCGGCCGCGCAACCAGUGGAGAGAAGCGGCGACCAAGGAAAGGCUUAGGUUAGUCUGUUUCUCACUCAUUGGUUUGUCCUUGCUUAUGUUUCUAAAUCAGAUUAAUGGAUGCCUUCAGAACUACACAAGUCGAAUGGUAGUAACUGUAUAAAAGUAAAAGAUUGGGGAUAUAUCCCUGUACCCAUCGGACAAGCUUUUGCAUUGUUUAUCACAUCCAAUAGUAGAAAGAUUUAGUUCAUUAACACGUGAAUUGCUUUGGCCUUUGCUUGAUGGUAACUUUUGAUAAAAAUUCAACUUGCUCACAGCAGAACAUGGUUUGACGAAGAUUUAGUUCGUUAACUAGGCUGUCUGUCGGCUUCUAUUUUUUCACGACUCUCUACACUAGAGAGGAAUUUUUUUUGCCCCCCCAUGUUCAAAUCCUGGCUCCGUCCCUGACCGCCGGGCCAAGGGGGCCGGCGCCACGGGCGACGAGAGCGCCGGUGCACGGGACCGGGCGCAGAGGCGCUCGCGGGAGAGCAGGCGGUCACGGGCCUCUCCGAGUCCGGCGGUCGCUCACCCGUCCAGCCAGCUACGUGGAGGCAGACGAUCGGCUGCGCCUGCGCCACCGCAUCGGUGCGACGCCAACAUCCUUCGCUUGCGCGGUUGAUGGAUGGAUAGGGACGAACGGCUUUGCUUCUCCGAAAGCGGCGUCCCACGUUAGAGCAAUUAUUAGUUUUUGGUUUUCUUGGCAGUGACAAGUAGUCGGCGAGCGAGUUGCUCAUCAGGGAUUAAACAACGCGUUGAUUGCGCUGGCCCGUGGACUGCCGACUCAAGGUUAAACUGAUAGUAUGAAAGGUCUUCUUUUAGUUACCGGCAAAAAGGAAAAAAAAAUCUUCAUACUACAAAGUGAACAUUAGCUCUAAAUUUGUUUUACAUAAUAUAAUUUUAUGAAUUUUGUGUGCAAACAAUUACUCCCUCCGAUCCAUUGAUUGGAUCAGAUGGAUAAUACUCGGUAUGAGAUCUUUCAGGAUGCACCAACUUACCUCUAGGCUUUAGAUAGGUAGGAGUUGGCUUGAAUCAUGGCCGAUGAUCUUAGACUAUUCAUUUCAGAUACCAAAAUACAAACCUGCUACUCUAUGUUAAUAUUAUCAUUUCAAACUGUAAUCAUACAUGCUAUUUUUAGAACAUAGUUCGUGGCUACACCUAAUCCAAUGUUCACCCUCUACUUCAACUAAAUGAUACCCCACGCAUCGCCGCGGGAAACGGUUGCAAUCUAUUUCAGUCAGAUUUGACUGUGUAGAAUAUAAAUAUUUAAAUUAAUAACACGUGAAUCAUAAUUAAAAAUACAUAUGACUUAUUAUAUUUUAUUAUGUAUAUUUGUAAAUAUUAUUGAAUAUAAGUAGAAUAAUAAAGUGAAAGGUAUUUUUUAUGCAUGGUUGCAUGUUGCGGUGGGCCUUAUCCCGUCUAUAAUUGUAUACGAUAUGGCAUGCUUGUAUGUUGAUAUUAAUAAGUUAACGAGAUGACUCUCUUAGGUAUAUGUAGGAUUUGUUCACCGUCCAUUGGCCCUCGAUGUCUCUUCAUCUCAACUGAACUCCACCAUCUCCCUUCUCAUCAAUCCACCUUCAUAUCAUAUAGUACCAUAGAAAAACUUUAAUGAACCGAUCAAUUCCUUCAUCUCCUGUGGCAGUAGCUAGGGCGAAGCUUGGUGCCAUCUAGGCUCCACUGCAAACCGGUGGACUCGCCUCCCCUCUAUCCGUAGCUCCGAUGGCUGGAGAUGGAGAGGGAAGUUUCAGUACAAUGGUCCGACUCGUAGUUCAUGUUAGGUUUUUUAGUCCUUGCAGUGACGACAUUGUGGUGGUCAUGUUUAAGUUGGUCUUCUGGGUUUCAGUUUUCUUCGAGUUGGUCUGUCAGAAUGGAGUCGUCGGAGCUCCUACGUAGAUUUUUGAUAUUUUCUCCAUCAUUUACUAGUUUUGAUCCAUGUGAAAAACAAAGUUAAAAAAUCCUAUCCCAAUUGUUGUAGUUGGGAAUAGAAUUUAAAAGCUAGCAAGAAUUACAUAUGUAUUGUCUCUAACAUGAUGCCAUGCGCUUGGAAACAAAAUUUGGCACAUUUGAUUCAUACUUUCCCAUAAGAGCAUGCAGCUUGCUGAUAUCUCAAAUGUUGAAACCCCUAACAUACCUACGUGCUAGUACUAGUUAGAGACACACAAGGUCCAGUUAUUCAGCUGUAACAUUCUAGAUGGCAUGGCAAAGAGACUGCUUUACCCAACAACAUAUUAUCAGGACACAAUUCCACCUUCCAACACCUAGUUAGUCAACUCCAUGAUGACAUUGAAAACAUCGUCAUCCUUAGCCUUAAGCGCAAUUAUGGCAUACAUAUUGUCUCAAACACGAUGACAUGCAUUUUCAAACAAAUUUUGGCACAACUAAUUCAGAUUUUUUUUUCCGUAAGGAGCAUGCAGGUUGUUCAUCCUUAAAUGUUAAAACACCUUAGAAACCUACAUGCCAGUACUAGCCAGAGACACACAACCUCCAAUUCUGCAACUACAACAUUCAAGACGACAUGGCAAAAAGACUGUUUUGAGACCCCCAACACCCUAUUAUCAUGACACAAUUCCACCUUCUACCACCUAGUUAGUCAACUCAGAGAUGACGCUGACAAUGUCGCAUCCUUAGCCCUGAGUGCCUCCACCCCUCUGGAUCUUGACAUGGAGCCCACCAUCAUCAUAAGCUCGACGUACUUAUUUUCAAUACUGGAUGUUGUCAACCUCCUCGUUUCCACGAGUUACUUCCAUAGAAGGCUCUUUCUUUAAGAUGAAGCUACUCAGGACUGAUGCCUUGAACUGCUCCAUCGCUUGAGUCUGUAGUUGAUUGCUCAGGGGUCGUCUAUUUUGGAAUCCCCGAACAUGAUGUACUUUUAUGAGUGUGGGCUUUCGAAGAUGGUUUGCUUGGAGAUGAGAAAUAUAACCUGCGAUUGUGUGGCAAAGUUGAAAAAAAAUGCAACAACACAUGCAUUUUUUUUCCUUAGAUGCAGAGAUCACUUGGAUGGAAGCACCAUGAUGUUGAGAUUUUCCAUUUUGUUAGAUGGUAUAUUGAUUUGAAAUUGUAGUUGAUUAAGUUAGGGAUAAGGUUUACAACCUAGCAGGAAUCGAAAAAGAAAACACAUGCUAUAAAGAAGAAAGAUGACAGUAGCCUAUCUUGUAAGAGCAAACAUGGAUGACAUCUAAUUUUCAAUCUCCAAGGCUAUCUACAAUUGCGAGGGUCAGGAGGUGAUGUCAUCAAAGAUUUGAGCAUUUUGCUCCUUCCAAAAAAUUCAGAUGACAUAUGAGGCUAUAAUGUUGAGCAUGUUUUUGCAUUUUCAUACUGGCUCCUAACACACCCUCUCCCACCAGCUUGGCAAAUCAGUGUUGAGUGUAAAGAAUAGGGUGAGCCCUAAGAUGGAGCAAAGCACACAUUUGUAGGUAAAGUAAGGCUCGAGAACGAAGCGGGAUCUUGGACCUGGUCACAAAAUUACCUAAUGGAUAGGUAAUGUGCUCACCAAACCUUGGUCAGUGUAAUGAUGACCGCCCCUUAUAAAAGACACACUCCUCUCGAUGGUCUCCUUGUAGCCUCUAAAUUUGUUCUCGAUAGUAAUAGAAACCAACCAACACAUGGUGGGGGUCGAGGCUCCCGAUCCAGAGAGCACCGGAGAUAAACAAUGGGGUUAGAUCGAUGCAAUACAUAAUGAAAUAAGAAUGAGAGGUAUAUGGAAACACAUCAUCUCAAAAAUUCAUAUGGUCCAUAGGCGGAAGCGAGAAUAAAGUAUUUGAUACCAGGGGAUGUAGGGGCAACACUAUUGUACGUUUAAAGGAGUGAACAUGAGAAUAUGAAAAUAUGUCGAGAGCACUCCAAAGUGAAAGAGCGACGCGAGGAAAUUGAAAAGGAACUGAGAUGAAUAUCACCAUGUAAAUACUGAAUUGGGCUUUUGGUGAACCUUUAUAUUAAAUCUGGGUUCUUUUUUUUUAAAGUCUUCUUCUCUGUGCACCAUUGUCGAUACUUUUUCACCAAUGAUCAAUUACAUAAAGGUGGGGCAACAUUACCCUUCUGAACCCCAAUCAUCCUCCUUCACUGCUCCUCCACCCGGUUUAUAUGUAGUGUGACCUAUCACACGUUACAAAACAUGCAACAAAUCAAGCAGUUAUUCACAAGCUAGACCAAAGUCACACUGCUUCUUCUUCUAAUUAAUAUGGUGCUAGCAUGGAAUGUAAGAACUGUGACAUGCACGUUAAGUUCGAUAGCCACACACCACCUAAUAGCAUCCACAACCCUCACACAUCAAAUGACCACACCUCCGUCAACCACACCAGACCUCGUUCCAUUCCCCCUACACCUUUUCCCCCAUCUGAAAUUCAAAUUCUCCAAACUGUCUGCAACCAAAAAUCCAGAUUAGGCAGAAGAAACAAAAUGGAACCAGCCAACAACCUAGGGGACAAAGCCUACCACAGAAGAAAAGCACCGAAAGUGCAAACAAAACAAUUAGCCCACACUAAUGCCAGAGCAAAGCAAAUGAUAAUCCGAUCCGAUCACCCCAUUUGCACACUACUCAAAGGGGCCGAAUAUUCAUGAGUUUAUUACAACAUAGUCAUCCAAAAAAGGAUGUCAAAUUAAAUGUUAUUGCACAAGGUAUUUUUUCGAUCUUUCCAUUGUCAUAUUGUUUUUUGUAUUCAACUAAUUUGGCUCAAUUUAUGAUGACGACAGACUAUGUUUGUACCCUAGAGAUAUUUUUUGAGGGAUGUACCCUAGAGAUAUUAAUAGGGUCAUCGCUUUAUAUGUAUACAUUGUCAAUUUGCCAUUUUGUUAUCAGUUUGCAUUACAAGUGAAGUGAAAUUGUUAUGCAACUGUGACCGUGUUAUAUUUUCUCUACCUGUAAAAUUUAAUAUGCAUUAUCUUUAUAUAAUUUCAGCAAAAUAUUUCAGAAGCCCGUGGCAAUGCACGGACAUUCUACUAGCAUAUAUAGGUGGGGGGUGGGGGAGAGGGGAGGAAGCCAGGAGGCGCCGAAUCCCACUUGGGCUCUUGCCCCAAGACACGCCCCCCUUCCUUGUUUGUGUGCGGGAGGAAGGCAGGGGGAGGUGACGCCCCACCCCCCCUUUCUUUUCUCUCAUGAGGAGGGAAAGGCAGGAGGGGAAAACCCUCCCCCUUUCCUUCCCCUAGGGCCGCUGGCCAGAGAGAGGUGCGCGCCAGCCCCCUUGUGGGCUUUCGUGUCCCUCCUCUUGGCCCAUUAGGCCCAUAGACCUCCUGGGGGUGUCCGGAACCCCUUCCGGCGAUCUGAUGACUACCCGGUAAACUCCGAAACUCUUCCGAUGUCCAAAUAGUAUCGUCCUAUAUAUCAAUAUUUACCUCCAGACCAUUCCGAAGCUCCUCGUCAUGUUCGUGGUCUCAUCCGGGACUCCGAACAACAUUUGGUCACCAAAUCAUAUAACUCAUAUAACACUAUAUUGUCAACGAACGUUAAGCGUGUGGACCCUACGGGUUCGAGAACUAUGUAGACAUGACCGAGACACUUCUCCGGUCAAUAAUCAAUAGCGGAACCUGGAUGCCCAUAUUUGUUCCUACAUAUUCUACGAACAUCUUUAUCGGUCGAACCAUUAUGACAACAUACGUAAUUCCCUUUGUCCGUCUGUAUGUUACUUGUCCGAGAUUCGAUCGUCGGUAUCUCCAUACCUAGUUCAAUCUCGUUACUGGCAAGUCUCUUUACUCGCUCCAUAAUACAUCAUCUCGUAACUAACUCCUUAGUUAUUUUGCUUGCAAGGCUUCUUAUGAUGUGUAUUACCGAGAGGGCCCAGAGAUACCUCUCCGAUACACGGAGUGAUAAAUCCUAAUCUUGAUCCAUGCCAACUCAACAAACACCUUCGGAAAUACCUGUAGAGCAUCUUUAUGAUCACCCAGUUACAUUGUGACGUUUGAUAGCACACAAGGUAUUCCUCUGGUAUCCGGGAGUUGCAUGAUCUCAUAGUCGAAGGAAUAUGUAUUUAACAUUAAGAAAGCGAUAUCAAUAAACUGAACGAUCAUUUGCUAAGCUAACGGUUGGGUCUUGUCCAUCACAUCAUUAUCCCAAUGAUGUGAUCCCGUUAUCGAAUUACAACUCAUGUCUAUGGUUAGGAAACCUUAACCAUCUUCGAUCAACGAGCUAGUCUAGUAGAGGCUCACUAGGGACACGGUAUUUGUUUAUGUAUUCAGACACGUAUUUAAGUUUCCGGUAAAUACAAUUCUACCAUGAAUAAUAAACCUUUAUCAUGAAUAAGGAAAUAUAAAAUAAAAUAAACUUUAUUAUUGCCUCUAGAGCAUAUUUCCUUAACAACUAAAACUGCUAUCUAAAUCGUUCGUAAAUGUCAUCCUCCUAAUGAAUGUUCGCCAGCUAUUAGGGUUCAUUAUUUUUUAUUUUCUUGACUGUGACACAUAGUUGGCGAGCGGGUUGGUCACCGGUAGAAGCACUGAAGCACACGUCACUUGAUUAGUUUUAGAUUAAGGAAUGCCUUGAUUGCGCUGGCAUGUGAAGGGUCGACUCAUGUCGACACAAUAAUAAAGAUCUUCGUAAUGCAAAGUGGAUAGCUCUAUGUUUAUAUGUAAGUGCAUCUAGUGCCACCCCUAGUUGAUUUUGGAGUAUUGACGACAAACGUGGUUGAGGGACUAAUGUGUUUGUGAGAAUUGCAGGAUAACACAGGUAGAAGUCCCUCAUUGAUUCGGUUUACCUACCAGAGAUGACCCCUAAAAAUGUAUGAAGACAUUGAAGACAAUGGUGGUUCAUGAAGACAUACACGUCGAAGAUAAUGAUGUGUGAAGACAUUCAUGUGAAGACCAUGGGGUGCGAAGACAUAGUUUUUUUCGUAGUUUCAUUUCUUCUUACUUGAGUCAUAGGAACCACCGAACUGUUAAGUGGGGUCCAAGUAAACAAAGUCAGAAGACUGACGUGAUGCUUAACCAAAAUCCUAUGUCUUCGAGUGAAAACAACGAGAGCAAAUCUUAUCCAGAGUUGGGUGAGUCAGCUUUGCUUGUAGCCCAAGCCAAGCUACUGCGUUUGUUUGAAAUCCGACUGUUGGACACGCGUCGGUUCCUUAGUGACCCAGGGUCAUUUCAGACAUAUCAUGUCGGGUUUGCAGCUGACUAUAAAUAUCCCACCCCCUCCACCAUAAAUUGGUGGCUGCUUAGAGUUAGUGCACGGCUUUUGUCGUUUGAGAGCAACCCACCUCCGAAGCCUUUGAGAGAGAGAAUUCUUGCAAGGACAAAGCCCAAAACACCCAGAGCGAAAGAGUGUCAGGCAUCACUGAAGUCUUUCUGUCCGCGUCACCUGAAGACUUAUUACACUUGAGGACUAUGCAUCCUCCAGCCGGUUAGGCGUCACGUUCUGUGGAUCUAAGAGUCAAUGUGGAUCACCGGAGAACGGAGUCUGUGAAGGUUUGGAAGUCUACCUUGAAGACUUACCAGAGUGAUUGGGCGAGGACUGGGUGUCCUUAGCUCAAGGGGAUAAGGUGAAGACGUGGUCUUCUGAGUUCAGUCUCAGCCUCCCUAACCAGACGUACAGUUGUCACAGCAACUGGAAUUGGUCUACCAAAUUCUUGUCUUCGUCAAGCUACUGGUUCUAUCUCCAACCUCCUUUACAUUUCAGUUUGUAUUCGUGAAAUCAUUGCUUGUUGCCUGAUCUAUUUGACUUUAUUGUGUGAAGACUUUUACUAGUUUGGCUUCAUAUUGUCUUCCAUUCCGAUCCGCUCUACCUAGCUGUCAUUAGUCUUCGUGCUUUCAUUGUACUGUAUACUUGACUAUGGUCCGUUUAGUGUAGUUUAUCUUCCGCUGCAUAUCGCAUAGGUGUUGUUUGCUUGUCUGUCUUCUAAGAUCUCGCAUCUUUCGUAGACUUUCAUAAAAAUCACCUAUUCAUCCCCUCUAGUCGAUAACUAGCACUUUCAUUAUACAAUAAUUGUUUUUAUACAAACAAGUGUAUUAUCUUUUGCAUGCAAUCUCAAUAUGUAAGGCGCAUGCGGACAAUUUCCUGUCUAAAGCAGCUAAAGACACGCUCGGAUCCCUAAUUUGCUGGGGAUUGUGGUCAAAGGAGAUCGUGCAUGCGUCCCUCUUUCUUUCGUUUUUUAGUCGUUGAUGCCUCCCUCUCAACAACAUGCACAAUGCUUCAAUUAACGAUCAACAUGCGCUAAUUUUCGUGCUGAAAACUAACACGUCCAACAAUAUGGAAAGGAGGGAGUAUAUAAUACUCAGUACUAUGAGCUUUUUCAAGAUGCACUAACAACUCUAGGGAGGUAAAAGUUGGCUUCUAUCAUGGCCGUUAAUCUUAGACUAUUCAUUUUGGAUACCGAAAUACUACUGGCUAUUUCCUCUUAAUACAUACACAUCAUAACGACAAAUCAGAAAUGUCAAUGGAGAUUUAUUUAUUCUUUCAAACUGUAAUCAUACAUGCUAUUUGCAAAACAUAGUUCAUCGCUGCACCUAGUUCAAUGUCACCCUCUACUCCAGUUUGCUUCUUAUCUCAACUAGGUUCAUUGUAUAUCUUCUCUUUAAAUGUCUACUUAAUCCGCCGCCAUCUCAUACAGUACUAUAGGACAACUUUUAUGAACCAAUAUUCCUCCUUCUCCUACGGCAGUGGCUAGGGCGAAGCUUCAUCCCCUGUAGGCUCCACCUAGUUAGUCAACUCAAUGAUGGUGCUAACAAUGCCGCCAUCUUCAGCCUUGAGCCCUUGCACGCCCUGGAUACAUGGAGGCUUGCAUCAUCAUAAGCUUGUCGUAGUUCUUGUCAAUGCUAAUUUCGUCGACCUGCUUGUUAGCCUAAGCUACUACAGAAGGAUCGCCCCUUGAGAUGAGGCUACUCGGGCCCAACACCUUGAACUGCUCCGCCGCCUGUGUCUGCAGCUAAUUGCUAAGGUCCCCGAUCUCCGCAUCCUCAAACAUGAUGUUGAUAUCUGAGUAUCGUCCCUUGAAUAUGUAUGGUUUGGAGAUGGCGAACAUAAACCUUCAAUGGUGUGGCGAGGUUGAGAAAAUGAAACAACACAUGUGUCUACCUUGGAUGCAGAACAUUGAAUUGAAGCACCAUGAUGCUGAGAUUUUCUGUUUGGUGGUAUAUUUAUUUCAAAUUGGAUUNNNNNNNNNNNNNNNNNNNNNNNNNNNNNNNNNNNNNNNNNNNNNNNNNNNNNNNNNNNNNNNNNNNNNNNNNNNNNNNNNNNNNNNNNNNNNNNNNNNNNNNNNNNNNNNNNNNNNNNNNNNNNNNNNNNNNNNNNNNNNNNNNNNNNNNNNNNNNNNNNNNNNNNNNNNNNNNNNNNNNNNNNNNNNNNNNNNNNNNNNNNNNNNNNNNNNNNNNNNNNNNNNNNNNNNNNNAAAAAAAAGGCUACAAACAAGGAAGACAAUAGUAGGCUAUGUUGUUAACGCAAACAUGCAUGACGUGUUGAUUUAAAUCUUGAAGGCCGCCUGCAACUAUGAGGGUGGGAAGCGAAGAUUCAAGCAUUUUCUCCUUCCACAAAUUGCAGAUGGUGCAUGAGGCUAUAACACUGAGCAUGUCUCUUGCUUUUCAUAUAGGAUCUGAACGCACCCUUCCCACCAUCUUGACAAAUCAGUGUUGAGUGUAAAUGUUAUGGUGAGACUGGACAAUUGAGCAGAGCACACAUGUGUAACCAAGCCUCUUUGGAGCAAGGGAAAUUAAGGCCGGUGUGCAAAGCAGGCUCCAAGACUUGGUCAAAAUAUUAAUGGAUGGAUGGCUAAUGUGCUCACCAACUUUCCUUGUUGUAAGUAUGACCGACUCUUAUAAAAAAGACACUCCUCAAUCAAACAAGUACGAUGGGGUUCGAGGCUCCCGAUACAGAGGCACUUCAGAUAAAUAGUGAGGGUGGAUGGAUGAAAUCCAUUAUGAAAUAAGAAAGGGAGGCAUACAGAAACACAUCAUCUCCAAAAAUCAUAUAGGGCAUAGCAAAUCUAAAAAAUCAAGUAUUUUCUAAGAGGAAAGGCAGGGGCAACACUAAUGUACACAUGAAGGAGUGAACAUGAGAAGAUGGAGAUCCUUCAAGUACAGUCCCGAGAAAGAGAGUGACAUGUGAAGCAUUACGGCUUGGCCUCAAGGAGUGUGAGAGCCCCACGAAGGAGAAAGUGGCAACCACUGCGAUUUCCAGCCAUCUUGCCAAGGAGCAGGCCCGCGCCGCCAAUGCCUGGUCCGACUCCCCUACUCAUACGACUUUCUCGUUAGCUCCAGCACCUCCGACAGCCCUCCGAAGCAUACUAACGUCGCUCCGAAGACGACAAGGGGAAGGGCAUAUUGUGUUGAUCUACAUUGUAUGGUAUUGUAUGGAUUUGGGGGUUUGGAUAAGAGAGAGAGAUCAUCGACGGACGCGGGCAAAUGAUGGCGAGCCAGCGCUAUCCACGGACAAUAGUUAGAAAUGAAACACGAAUAAAACCUCUGAUUCCCCAAAUGCAACAUUAAAUAUGACAUGACCAAAGAGUGUGAUCUAAUAUCAUCCAUCAUAAAAACGAAUGCUAACUACAUGUUUGGCCCCAGCUCGCAUGUAACGCACAACCACAAUCCCCAACAAUCAUUAGGUUGGUCAUAAUAGGAGUAUCAUAGAUAGUAUCAUGUAUGCCGAUUACACAUUUUUACUGAGGUGACACAUAAUUAAAUGAAGAAAGAGAGUAUGGCCUAUGAUGAUAUGAUAUUAUAUCAUAUUAAAUGAUGUAUUAGUGUGUGUCAUAUAUGAAAAUAAAUGAGAUCACUAUGAUACUAACCUAUGAUACUAUUCACUCCACUCUUCGUCUCCUCUUCUCCCUGUCCCCUUCCCUUCCAAUCCAAUCUCGAGCUUCGGUAGAGCAGCUUCCGGCGGCGGAUCUGGCAGCGAUGACCCCGUCGAUUAGGAGUCGUUAAUGUGUGAGGCGAAGGCGGACGGCGAUGGAAUGGUCCUCGUUUGCAUCGCGCUGCGCCGACCGCGGUUGGAUAGGGGUGGAAGCGCAAGCUCUGGUUCCACGCAAUCCAUCGCCGCUUGUCGACGUAGAGCAGACGACCGCGCCGACGCGUCCCGUCCGCGCAACUCCGUGCGCUUCGUGCCCCUUCCGGUCCGCCACACGCAUGCCCUCUUCGGGCCCUCCUCUGCCUGCUCCAGCUCGUGUCCGACCAUUGUUGGUUCCUCGUGCCCGGGCCGGCCCCGCCGCGGUUGUGGAUACCCGAAUCUGAAGCGUGUGGCGCACGCCGUGAGAGGCAGCGGGAGAGGAAGAGAGCGGUGACGACAGAAGCGAGGUCCUCCCGCCGGUCACGCAUGAGCCCACCGGUAAGUCCGGACGACCAGCUCCUCGCCCAGGUCCUCUGCUGCUCAUUCACCACCUCGGAGACUGACGUGCGACGUCCCCACCGCAAGAACGCCAACACACUCUGGCUCACCAUCGAGCAGUCUGAGCGCGAGACAGUGGUGGAUGUGACGGCCAAAACCAACAUGGCCCGACUCGGGAAGGAGCAAACGCGUGUCCUCCAUGGGUUGGCCGGCAUCAUCUCCUCCUCCAACGACUCUGACGACGACGCUCCUCCUGCCACCAAUGCCUACACGGACGCACCGAUGAUUGCAAGGUCAAGGGACUGGCGCAUGAGUGGUGAUGUCUCGGUGCCCCUCUUCAUCUCCGUUUUAGGUUUUAGUUGAUUUAGUUUUUAUCUAUGUCUGUAUGCCGGCGACGAGCAAGAGCUUUUGGUCUUAGCUCUUAGCUCUGAAUAUCUGCCCUUCAUGUCAGAUCUGACCGGUCUCACCGAAUUGAACAAAAAUCUCUUGAGGCCUUGGCCAGUUUUCCGGGAUGUGCUAGUGGAAACGUUGCAAGGCCAUUUUAUUUUAGCAUGCAUGCUCAUUAAUGCAUUAACUAAUCCAAACCUUAAUCAGUCACCAUUGAUAACAACUAGAUUAAGACGAGGAAGAGCCGUUCGGACGUCGAAGAUGGCCACAAAUGAAGUACAGUACAGUACGAAGCAACCGCCUGCACUGCAAGUACGACUACUACAUGCCAAACCCCACAUAGGGCCGCGCUCGUGCGUGCCGUUCUUCUAGAGAGAGAGAGAGAGGCGGAGCAGAGCAUGCGCCUGUGCUGCAUGGUCCGACCGACGGCGACGGCGGACGCGACGGUGGCGAUGGAUGGCGUCUCCCCUCGUCAAUCCCCGACAGCGAGCUCCCAACCCCGAUCCAUUCCAGCGACCGCCAACGGCCUCCCCUCUCUCCUCUGCCCACCACAUGCCGCUGUUCUUCCGCGCCGCCGGUCGCCGUCGGUUCAUCAGUACAGUCCCGUGCACCAGGUCCACGAGCAAGCGAACAGCACUACGGUGGCAACACAUUCGUAAUUUGCGCGAGGGCACGUGGCCGACCUGGACAGACCCCGGAGAAACCGUCCGUCCGUGGACCCGACCAUUCCAGUCGCUGACAACUUAGCCGUGAAGACCGUCGCCGCGCACGACGCGACCGCCCGGUGCACGGGGGACACCUGGCGCAGGAGCGCUCGCGGGAGAGUGGCCUGUCAUCACGGGCCUCUCCGAGUCCGGCGGUCGCUCACCCAUCCAGCCAGCUACGUGGAUCCAACAUUCUUCGCUUUGCGUUGCGUGGUUGAUGGAUAGGCACGGCUAUGCUUCUACGAAAGCGGCGUCCCACGUUAGCGCAAUUAUUUUUAGUUUUCCUGGCGGUGACACGUAGUCGGCUGGCGAGUUGGUCGUCAGUAGAAGCACACGAGGCCACUAUCUCGGUUUGGAUUAAAGAACGUGUUGGUUGCGCUGGCCCGUGGAUUGUCGACUCAAGGUUAAACUGAUACACCUAUGAAAGAUCUUCUUUUAGUUCCCGGCAAAAAAAAACCCAUAAAGAUCUUCAUCAUACUAUAAAGUGAAAAGCUCUACAUUUAUAUAAUAAUUUUGUGUACAAACAUUGUAUACUCGGUACGAGCUCUUUCAGGAUGCACCAACUUACCUCUAGGCUUUAGAUAGGUAGGAGUUGGCUUGAAUCAUGGCCAUCGAUCUUUGACCAUUCAUUUUGGAUACCAAGAUACAACAAACUAUUUCGUGUUAAUAUUAUCAUUUCAAACUGUAAUCGUCCAUGCCAUUUUUAGAACAUAGUUCGUGGCUGCACCUAAUCCAAUGUUCACCCUCUACUUCAACUAGACGAUACCCCACACAUCGCCGCGGGAAUCGGUUGGAAUCAAUUUCAAUAAAAUUUUAUUGUGUGGAAUAUAAAUAUUUAAAUUAAUGACAUGUGAAUCAUAUUUAAAAAAUAUACGACUAAUUACAUUUGAUUAUGUAUAUUUGCAAAAAUUAUUGAAUGUAAGUAGAAUAAUAAAGUGAGUAAUAUUUUUGUGUGCAUGGUUGCAUGUUGUGGUGGGCCUUAUCCCGUCUAUAAUUGUAUGGGAUAUGGCAUGCUUGUAUGUUGAUAUUAAUAAGUUAGUGGUGAUGGCUCUCUUAGGUAUAUGUAGGAUUUGUUCACCGUCCAUUGGUCCUCGAUGUCUCUUCAUCUCAAUUGAAGUCCACCAUCUAUCUUCUCAUCAAUCCACCCUCUUAUCAUACAGUACCAUAGAAUGACUUUAAUGAACCGAUCAAUUCCUUCAUCCCCGUGUCACUAGUAGAAAAAGGGCCUUUAGUCCCGGUUCAUAAGGGCCUUUAGUCCCGGUUCUGGAACCGGGACUAAAGGGUCGUUACUAAAGCCCCCCCCCCUUUAGUUUCGGUUCUUACACGAACCGGGAUUAAAGGCUCUCCACGUGGCCGCUGCCUGGAGGUCCACCUUUAGUCCUGGUUGUUACACGAACCGGUACUAAAGGAAAUUUUAUGAUUUUUUUUUGAAUUUUAAAAAUUUUUUUGAAUUUUUUUGAUUUUGAAAUUAUUUUAACCUCUAAUCUCUAAUCACCCCUCAUCACUGCUCAAUUUAACCUCUAAUCUCUAAUCACCCCUCAUCAUUCCAAAUCAUCUAACUUCCCAGACGGUCACCCAUCCUCUCACUACUCCUUAACUUCCGGGUUCUAUUCUCCCUCGUUUCCAAGUCUGCACUUGUUGUUUUCCUGACAAUAGUAAGAUGUCAAUCCUAUUAACCCUCAGGAAUUUAGCUUGAGCAUGAAGUCACACAUUUCACUGUUUGAGUUUGAAACUAUUGUUCUAAAAACAAUGAUUAUUUAGUAACACUAAUAUUUCUUGAAUAAGUAGUUUGACCAUAGUUUGACCAGAUUUGACCAAAAUUCAAAAAAACUGAAAUAAUUAUUUCGUAACACUAAUAUUUCUUGAAUAAUUAGUUUGACCAUUGUUUGACCACAGUUUGACCACAAUUUGACCAGAUUUGACCAAAAUUCAAAAAAACUGAAAUAAUUAUUUAGUAACACUAAUAUUCUUGAAUAAUUAUUUAGUAACACUAAUACUUCUUGAAUAAGUAGUUUGACCAUAUUUAACAAAAAUUCAAAAAAAACUGAAAUUUGAUCAUAACUUUUUUUCCUUUUAGAAUUUGAGGAUUCUAAAAAUUUGCAAACAGGCCGUAGGCCGUCAAAAUCGGAUGCGGAUUUUCGUGCUGAACAUUUUGAUAUAUUAUACGUUUUUUUCUGACAUCGUAUGCAAAAGUUAUAGCCGUUUUACAUUUUCCCUACACUUUUUGCAAAACAUGUCCAAAUUUAAGUUUUUAAAUUUUCCUAACUAGUACAUGUAGUAACAUAACUACAUCUGGAAGGAUUUUAAUUUUUGAAAUUUUUAUCAUUUUCUUUUGCUUUUUACAAAACUGAAAAGGUGAUGGGGGGGGGGGGGUAGAGUUUGAAAAUGGGACCUUUAGUACCGGUUCGUGCCACAAACCGGUACUAAUGCCUCAAACCCCAUUAGUACCGGUUGGUGGCUCGAACCGGGACUAAAGGUCUAACCUUUAGUACCGGUUGGUGCCACGAACCGGUACUAAUGGGCAUCGUACCCUUUAGUUCUGGUUCGUGGCACCAACCGGGACUAAAGGUCCCAUUUGAACCGGGACUAAUGCCUGUACGGUGCCCUAGCCGCUCGAACCGGGACUAAUGCUCACAUUAGUCCCGGUUCGUAAUGCAACCGGGAUUAAUGCUCUUUUCUGGCCGAACCAAAGCCCUGUUUUCUACUAGUGUGUCAGCAGCUAGGGUGAAGCUCCGUGCCAUCUAAUCUCCACUGCAGGCCGGUGGACUCGCCUCCCCUCUAUCCGCAGCUCUGACGGCGGGUGAUGGAGAGGGAAGUUUCAGUACAAUGGUCCGACUCGUAGUUCAUGUUAGGUUUUUUAGUCCUUGCAGGAACGACAUUGUGGUGGUCAUGUUUAAGUUGGUCUUCUGCGUUUCGGUUUUCUUUGAGUUAGUCUAUCAGAAUGGAGUCAUAAGAGCUCCUACGUAGAUUUUUGAUAUUUUUUCCCAUCAUUUAUUUGUUUCGAUCCAUAUGAAAAAGAAAGUUGAAAAUCCCCUCCCAAUUGUUGUAGUUGGGAACAAAAUUCAAAAGCUGGCAAGAAUUACAUAUGUAUUGUCUCAAACAUGAUGACAUGCACUUGGAAAUAAAAUUUGGUACAUUUGGUUCAUACUUUUCCCAUAAGAGCAUGCAGCUUGCUGAUAUCUCAGAUGUUGAAACCCCUAGCGUACUUACAUGCCAGUCCUAGUUAGAGACACACAACCUCCAAUUAUUCAGCUACAUUAUUCUAGAUGACAUGACAAAGAGACUGCUUUACCCAACAUCAUAUUAUCAGGACACAAUAUUCCACCUUCCAACACCUAGUUAGGAAACUCCAUGAUGACAUGGAAAAUAUCGUCAUCCUUGGCCUUAAGCGCAAGAAUGGCAUACGUAUUGUCUCAAACACGAUGACAUGCAUUUUCAAACCAAAUUUGGCACAACCAAUUUAGAAUUUUCCCAUAAGGACCAUGCAGCUUGUUGAUCCUUAAAUGUUAAAACACCUUGGAAACCUACAUGCCAGUACUAGGCAGAGACACACAACCUCCAAUUCUGCAACUGCAACAUUCAAGGCGACAUGACAAAAGGACUGUUUUGAGACCCAAUUCCCUAUUAUCAUGACACAAUUCCACCUUCUAGCACCUAGUUAGUCAACUCAUUGAUGGCACUGACAAUGUCGCCAUCCUUAGCCCUGAGCGCCUCCAACGCUCUGGAUCUUGACAUGGAGCCCAUCGUCAUCAUAAGCUUGACGUACUUAUUUUCAACAUUGGAUGUUGUCAACCUCCUCGUUUCCCCGAGUUAGUUCCAUAUAAGGCUAUUUCUUCAAGAUGAAGCUACUCAGGACUGACGCCUUGAACUGCUCCAUCGCUUGUGUCUGUAGCCGAUUGCUAAGGGUCGUCUAUCUUGGAAUCCCCGAACUCGAUGUACUUUGAUGAGUGUGGGAUUUUGAAGAUGUUUUUCUUGGAGAUGAGAAAUAUAACCUGCGAUUGUGUGGCAAAGUUGAAAAAAUGCAACAACAAAUGUAUUUUUUUUUCUUUAGAUGCAAAAGUCACUUGGAUGGCAGCACCAUGAUGUUGAGAUUUUCUAUUUUGUUAGAUGGUAUAUUGAUGUCAAAUUGGAGUUAAUUAACGUAGGGAUAAGAUUUACAACCUAGCAGGGAUCGAAAAAGAAAACAUAGGAUAUAGAGAAGAAAGAUGGCAGUAGGCUAUCUCGUAAGUCGAAACAUGGAUGGCAUCUAAUUUUCAAUCUCCAAGGCUAUCAACAACUGCGAGGGUUGGGAGGUGAUGUCAUCAAAGAUUUGAGCAUUUUGCUCCUUUCACAAAUUUCAGACAACAUAUGAGGCUAUAAUGUUGAGCAUUUAUUUGCAUUUUCAUACAGGCUCAAGAUGCAACCUCUCCCACCAGCUCGGCAAAUCAGUGUUUAGUGUAAAGGAUAGGGUGAGCCCAAAGAAUGGAGCAAAGCACACAUGUGUACCCAAACCUCUUUGUAGAAAGUUAAAUUAAGGCUCAAGCGUGAAUCGGGCUCUAGGACAUGGUCACAAAAUUAGCCGAUGGAUAGGCAAUCCGCUCACCAACCUUGGUCGAUGUAAUCAUGAUUGCCCCUUAUAAAAGACACACUCCUCUUGAUGGUCUCCUUGUAGCCUCUAAAUGUGUUCACGAUAGUAAUAGCAACACACCAAACACGGCUGGGGUCGAGGCUCUAGAGCCAGAGAGCACUAGAGAUAAACAAUGGGGUUAGAUCGAUCCAAUACUGAAUGAAAUAAGAAUGGUAGGUAUAUGGAAACACAUCACCACUAGUAGAAAACUGGGCUUUGGUCACAGGGCAAUAUUCACAUUAGUCCCGGUUCAGUCACGAACCGGGACUAAUGUGAGCAUUGGUCCCGGUUCGUGCGGCCAGGGGCCUGCCGGGCCUCGUGGGGGCAUUGGUCCCGGUUCGUCCGGCCCCUUUGGUCCCGGUUGGUGGGACAAACCGGGACCAAUGGGCCUCGUUCCUGGCCCACCACCAUUGGUCCCGGUUGGUGGCUUGAACCGGGACCAGAGGCUCACCCUUUAGUCCCGCGUCAUACCACAAACCGGGACCAAAGGGUUGGUCCUAGUAGCGGUCAGAGUUUAGUCCCACCUCGCCAACCGAAGGACGCUCACACCGGUUUAUAAGCCCGUCCCUCUCUGCCUUGUUGAGCUCCUCUCAAAGUGAAAAUAGAUGCCCUUAUAUAGGGAAUUUGACCUAAAUUCAGAGUAAAUUUCUUUGAAUUUCAUAGAAAUUUAUUAUGAAUUUAGGUUGAAUUUUCUCUAUAGGCGCAUCUAUGUUCAUUUUUUAUAGUAAAUAAAAUAAAUAUACCUUAAUAAAAUANNNNNNNNNNNNNNNNNNNNNNNNNNNNNNNNNNNNNNNNNNNNNNNNNNNNNNNNNNNNNNNNNNNNNNNNNNNNNNNNNNNNNNNNNNNNNNNNNNNNNNNNNNNNNNNNNNNNNNNNNNNNNNNNNNNNNNNNNNNNNNNNNNNNNNNNNNNNNNNNNNNNNNNNNNNNNNNNNNNNNNNNNNNNNNNNNNNNNNNNNNNNNNNNNNNNNNNNNNNNNNNNNNNNNNNNNNNNNNNNNNNNNNNNNNNNNNNNNNNNNNNNNNNNNNNNNNNNNNNNNNNNNNNNNNNNNNNNNNNNNNNNNNNNNNNNNNNNNNNNNNNNNNNNNNNNNNNNNNNNNNNNNNNNNNNNNNNNNNNNNNNNNNNNNNNNNAAUAGCAGCAGUAAAAUAAAUAAAAAUAGCAGCAGUAAAAUAAAUAAAAAUAAAAUAAAUAAAGUAAAAUACAUAAGUAAUUAGAAACAAAAUGGAAUAAAAUAAAUAAGUUUUUUGUUGUAAGUAGAAACAAAACAAAAUAAAUAAAGCAAAAGAGAAAACAAAAAACAGGGAAAAAAAUUGUGCCACCUACUGGGCCACCACGGUCUGAAUACGACUUGAAACCCAUCCAUGGGCCAGGAUUCAGGCCCGCAGAAGGCCCAGUAGGCCCCACAGGCAAAGAGAACGGUUAGGCCCGAAAGCCUGCAGUUGAGAGGAGCUCGAGAGGGUGGGCGCAGCAGCGCUUAUAAACCACUCUCGAGCGCUCUCAACUAGCGAGGUGGGACUAAACUUUUGACACGGGGCAGCACAAGGCCUUUGGUCCCGGUUGGUGCCACCAACCGGGACUAAAGGGGGGCAUGCGUACCGGUUCAUGGCACCAACCGGGACCAAUGCCCCCCCUUUAGUCCCGGUUGGUGCCACGAACCGGGACCAAUGGGUUGCCUAUAUAUACCCCAUCGCCACAGCAGAGCACUCCACAGUGCUCUGUUUUUUCUGGCCGGCGAGGGGAGGGCAUUUGGGUGCUCUAGCUCACCUCCUAUGCACAUGAGGUGUUCGAUGAAAUGUCUGAGCCACACUAGUUAAUCUUUCUCCUCUCGAAACUCGACCUCCGAGCUCCAUUUUCCCCGAGAUUUGUCUAGGUUUAGCGGUCCGUCACGUCCCGUCCCCGUCUUCACCGCCGUCGAUCGCCCGCGCCGAUCUCGUCGCCAGCACCACCGUGGUGAGCCUCUUGUUCUUAUCUUCUUUCUGAAAGAAAAAAAUUCUUACUUUAGAUAGAUACUUGUCUAAUUUAGUUACUUUUAUUAUUCCUUCUUAUUAAAUAGUGCGAUGGUUUUGGUAUCCGCCCCCGUCGGCCCUCGUCCUGUCUAUGAUUCGGAUGUGGUAUAUAUUAUCUUUUUAUAACUAUUUAGUUCAUUUAUUGUUUAUGACAAAUAUGCCGACCAACGUGACAUAGAUUUUAUUUAUCUAGGAGGUGGUUGAACCGUAAAUUCCAACCGACCCUAUUGUCAAGAGGUUAAAUUUAGUUGAAGAAGAAAACAAUUACUUGAAGGAAAAAAUAAAAAAAAUUGAGGAGGAGAAGAUGAUAUUGGAGUUGCAUGUUGCAGAUGUCGUCGAUGAUCACAAGAUCAAGAUGGAUGCAAUGCGCUUGAAGAUUAGAAAGAUUAGAAAAUAUGCCAUUCAUAUCGAGGCUUGGUAUCAUUAUGCCGUUGGAUCAAUUGUUACCUUGGUUGCGAUUAUGAUCGCAUUUGUUUUCGCAUUGAAAUGUUUUACAUAGUUUCAAUGUAUGGUUUAAUUAAUUAGAUGCUCUGGAGAGCUAUAUAUAUGUUGUUAGAUGAGAACUAUGUAUGUACUUUGGUUUUAAUGUGAUGAUGAACUUCUAUUAAUUUGGUCACUUAAUUAUCUAUUCAUGAUGUUCUGUAAUGGUUUUUGACACACUUAAUUAUAUAUAAUGCAUGCAGAUGAACCGGCAAUGGAUGUACGGUGACAGACACACCUCCGAGUACAUUAAGGGCGUGCAUGAUUAUCUCGAAGUGGCUGAGGCAAACAAGCAGAAUGGUUUUAUGUGUUGUCCAUGCCCUACAUGUUGGAAUACGAAGUCUUACUCUGACCGGAAAAUCCUUCACACCCACCUGCUUUACAAGGGUUUCAUGCCACACUAUAAUGUUUGGACGAGGCACGGAGAAAUAGGGGUUAUGAUGGAAGACGGCGAAGAAGAAGAGGACGAUGACAACUAUGUGCCCCCUGAAUACGGUGAUGCUGCAACGGGGGAAGCUGCUGAAGAUCAAGAGAAACCAGACGAUGUGCCCAAUGAUGCUGCAAGGGGGAAGCUGCUGAAGAUCAAGAGGAACCAGUGCCCGAUGAUGAUGAUCUCCGCCGGGUCAUUGUCGAUGCAAGGACGCAAUGCGAAAGUCAAAAGGAGAAGCUGAAGUUCGAUCGCAUGUUAGAGGAUCACAAAAAAGGAUUGUACCCCAAUUGCGAAGAUGGCAACACAAAGCUCGGUACCGUACUGGAAUUGCUGCAGUGGAAGGCAGAGAAUGCUGUGCCUGACAAAGGAUUUGAGAAGCUAUUGAAAAUAUUGAAGAAGAAGCUUCCAAAGGAUAACGAAUUUCCCGACAGUACAUACGCAGCAAAGAAGGUCGUAUGCCCUCUAGGAUUGGAGGUGCAGAAGAUACAUGCAUGCCCUAAUGACUGCAUCCUCUACCGCGGUGCGUACAAGGAUCUGAACGCAUGCCCGGUAUGCGGUGCAUUGCGGUAUAAGAUCAGACGAGAUGACCCUGGUGAUGUUGACGGCGAGCCCCCCACGAAGAGGGUUCCUACGAAGGUGAUGUGGUAUGCUCCUAUAAUACCACGGUUGAAACGUCUGUUUAGAAACGAAGAGCAUGCCAAGUUGAUGCGAUGGCAUAGUGAGGACCGUAAGAAAGACGGGAUGUUGAGAGCACCCGCUGACGGGUCGCAGUGGAGAAAAAUCGAGAGAAAGUACUGGGCUGAGUUUGCAGCUGACCCAAGGAACGUAUGGUUUGGUUUAAGCGCGGAUGACAUUAAUCCUUUCGGGGAGCAGAGCAGCAAUCACAGCACCUGGCCCGUGACUCUAUGUAUGUAUAACCUUCCUCCUUGGAUGUGCAUGAAGCGGAAGUUCAUUAUGAUGCCAGUUCUCAUCCAAAGCACUAAGCAACCCGGCAACGACAUUGAUGUGUACCUAAGGACAUUAGUUGAAGAACUUUUACAGCUGUGGAAUGGAAACGGUGUACGUACGUGGGAUGAGCACAAACAGGAGGAAUUUAACCUGCACGCGUUGCUGUUUGUAACCAUCAACGAUUGGCCCGCUCUCAGUAACCUUUCAGGACAGACAAACAAGGGAUACCAUGCAUGCACGCACUGUUUAGAUGACACUGAAACUAUAUACCUGGACAAAUGCAGGAAGAAUGUGUACCUGGGCCAUCGUCGAUUUCUUCCGACCAACCAUCAAUGUCGAAAGAAAGGCAAGCAUUUCAAAGGCGGGGCAGAUCACUGGAAGAAGCCCGCCAUGCGUACCGGUGAUCACGUACUUGCUAUGGUCAAUGAUUUACACGUAAUCUUUGGAAAGUGUCCCGGCGGACUAGCUGUUCCGAACGAGGCUGAAGGACAUGCACCCAUGUGGAAGAAGAAAUCUAUAUUUGGGGACCUACCCUACUGGAAAGACCUAGAGGUCCGCUCUUCAAUCGACGUGAUGCACGUGACGAAGAACCUUUGCGUGAACCUGCUAGGCUUCUUGGGCGUGUAUGGGAAGACAAAAGAUACAACUAAGGCACGGGAGGACCUGCAACGUUUGCACGAAAAAGACGGCAUGCCUCCGAAGCAGUAUGAAGGUCCUGCCAGCUACGCUCUUACGAAAGAAGAGAAAGAAAUCUUCUUUGAAUGCCUGCUCAGUAUGAAGGUCCCGACUGGCUUCUCGUCGAAUAUAAAGGGAAUAAUAAAUAUGCCAGAGAAAAAGUUCCAGAACCUAAAGUCUCAUGACUGCCACGUGAUUAUGACGCAACUGCUUCCGGUUGCAUUGAUGGGGCUUCUGCCGGAAAAUGUCCGAUUAGCCAUUGUGAAGCUAUGUGCAUUCCUCAAUGCAAUCUCUCAGAAGGUGAUCGAUCCAGAAAUCAUACCAAGUCUAAGGAGUGAUGCGGAGCAAUGUCUUGUUAGUUUCGAGCUGGUGUUCCCACCAUCCUUCUUCAAUAUCAUGACGCACGUCCUAGUUCAUCUAGUCGACGAGAUUGUCAUUCUGGGGCCCGUAUUUCUACACAAUAUGUUCCCCUUUGAGAGGUUCAUGGGAGUCCUAAAGAAAUAUGUCCGUAACCGCGCUAGGCCAGAAGGAAGCAUCUCCAUGGGCCAUCAAACAGAGGAUGUCAUUGGGUUUUGUGUUGACUUCAUUCCUGGCCUUAAGAAGAUAGGUCUCCCUAAAUCGCGGUAUGAGGGGAGACUGACUGGAAAAGGCACGCUUGGAGGGGACUCAAUAAUAUGCAGGGAUGGAUAUUCUUGGUCUCAAGCACACUACACAGUUCUACAGAACUCUACCUUGGUGACCACGUAUGUCGAUGAACACAAGAACAGUCUGCGCUCCAAAGACCCGGAGCAGUGUGACGACUGGAUUACAUGUGAACACAUCAGGACUUUCAGCAGUUGGUUGGAAACACGUCUCAGAGGUGACACCACUGUUUGUGAUGAGUUGUACUCGUUGUCCAGGGGACCAUCUUCGACUGUAUUGACUUACAAAGGAUACGAGAUAAAUGGGAAUACAUUUUACACGAUCGCCCAAGAUCAAAAGAGCACCAACCAAAACAGCGGUGUCCGCUUUGAUGCAGCAACCGAGAGGGGAAAGGACACAUAUUAUGGUUUCAUAAUGGACAUAUGAGAACUUGACUACGGACAUGAUUUUAAGGUCCCUUUGUUUAAGUGCAAAUGGGUCAAUCUGUCAGGAGGCGGGGUACAGGUAGACCCACAGUACGGAAUGACAACAGUGGAUCUGAACAAUCUUGGGUACACUGACGAACCGUUCGUCCUAGCCAAUGAUGUGGCACAGGUUAUCUAUGUGAAGGACAUGUCUACCGGACCGAGGAAAAGAAAAGAUAAGGAAGUGAAUACAUCAUACGAUGAGCCAAAGCGCCACAUAGUUCUUUCAGGAAAAAGGGGCAUUGUGGGAGUGGAGGGCAAGACAGACAUGUCUGAAGAUUAUGAAAAGUUUCAUGAAAUUCCUCCCUUCAAAGUCAAGGCUGACCCAAGCAUCCUGAUAAACGAUGAAGAUUAUCCAUGGUUACGGCGCAAUAGGCAAAUGACACAAGCGAAGAAAAAGUGAAGACUUUCUCCUACAACUAUUAUGAUGAUACCAUGCCAACUUUGUAACAGACGAGUAUGAUACCAUUGUCCGUUUUGUACACGAAGUGCAUCUAGUUUUUGCCAUAACCCUCUCAACUUUCUUGCACAUGCUAUGUGGAUGAAAUGAUGAUACCAUGCCAACUUUCAACCUUUUCAGAGUUCAUUUGAAAUGCUUUUCAAUUUUAGGGUCUUAUAGCUCAAAAUAAUUAGUAAAUGCAUGAAAAAUAACAAAUGAAGUCAGAAAGGGUUGAAAAUUGAUGAUGUGGCUUUGAAUGGUGCAUUUUGAACACACAAAAAGUCAGGAGUUCAAAUAAGUUUUAAAAAAUGAAAUCCCUUUGUAACAGACGAGUGUCCGUAUGAAAUCCUGAUACUUCGAAAGAGAUUGUCCGUUUUGUACACGAAGUGCAUCCAGUUUGUGCCGUAACCCUCUCAAAUUUCUUGCACAUGCUAUGUGGAUGAAAUGAUGAUACCAUGCCAACUUUCAACCUUUUCAGAGUUCAUUUGAAAUGCUUUUCAAUUUUAGGGUCCUAUAGCUCAAAAUAAUCAGUAAAUGCAUGAAAAAUGGUGCAUGAAAAAUAAAAAAUAAAAUAAAUAAGUAAUUAGAAACAAAAUAAUAUAAACUUUAAUAAAAUAUAUAAGUAGAAACAAAAUAAAAUAAACUUUAAUAACAUAAAUAAAAUUUAUGAAACUAAAAUUAUCAAAGUAUUUUCUGUUCAAAACAUUAUAAGCAACCUCUAGUAUUAUUGAAACUAAAAUUAUAUAAAAUUGAUGCAACUAAAAUUAUCGAAGUAUUUUCUGUUCAAAAUCAUUGAAAGCAAAAAUAAUUUUCAUAAAGAACUUUUUUUGUUAGAAACUUUAAUAGCAAAAAGAAUUAUCAUAAAGUAAAAUAAAUAAGUAAUUAGAAACAAAAUAAAAUAAAAUAAAUAAGUUUUUUGUUGUAAGUAGAAACAAAACAGAAUAAAUAAAGCAAAAAAGAAAACAAAAAAACAGGCAAAAAAUAAAAAUUAUGCCACCUACUGGGCCACCACGGCCUGAAUACGACUAGAAACCCAUCCAUGGGCCAGGAUUCAGGCCCGCAGAAGGCCCAGUAGGCCCACAGGCAUGUACAGAGAGGUUAGGCCCGUAAGCCUGCUUUAGAGAGGAGCUCGACAGCUCAGGCGCACCGCACCUUAUAAACAUGUGCGGCUCUCUCUCAGCUAGCGAGGUGGGACUAAACUCCCACCACCACGCCGCUGUGCAAGGCCAUUGGUCCCGGUUGGUGGCACGAACCGGGACCAAUGCCACCCUUUGGUCCCGGUUGGUGGCACCAACCGGGACUAAAGGGGGCCAUUGGUCCCGGUUGGUGCCACGAACCGGUACCAAUGCUCUCAGUAUAUCAGAAAGCACUUAGCGUUUUUGAGAUUCAUCUCUGCAUCUGUUCCCCCGCCCCGACGACGCUGCCAGGCUGCCCGAGCUCGCCCCGUCGACGCCCUCUGCUGCCUCGUCGACGAGCAGCCGCCCCUUCCCCGAGCACGCCGCCGGCAGCCCGCCCCGACCACGCCGCGCGCCCCUGCCCCGACCACGUCGUCGUCGCCCCAGCUGCCCCGACCACGCCGCCGUCGCCUCUGCCUCGCCCUGCCUCGACCACGCCGCCNNNNNNNNNNNNNNNNNNNNNNNNNNNNNNNNNNNNNNNNNNNNNNNNNNNNNNNNNNNNNNNNNNNNNNNNNNNNNNNNNNNNNNNNNNNNNNNNNNNNNNNNNNNNNNNNNNNNNNNNNNNNNNNNNNNNNNNNNNNNNNNNNNNNNNNNNNNNNNNNNNNNNNNNNNNNNNNNNNNNNNNNNNNNNNNNNNNNNNNNNNNNNNNNNNNNNNNNNNNNNNNNNNNNNNNNNNNNNNNNNNNNNNNNNNNNNNNNNNNNNNNNNNNNNNNNNNNNNNNNNNNNNNNNNNNNNNNNNNNNNNNNNNNNNNNNNNNNNNNNNNNNNNNNNNNNNNNNNNNNNNNNNNNNNNNNNNNNNNNNNNNNNNNNNNNNNNNNNNNNNNNNNNNNNNNNNNNNNNNNNNNNNNNNNNNNNNNNNNNNNNNNNNNNNNNNNNNNNNNNNNNNNNNNNNNNNNNNNNNNNNNNNNNNNNNNNNNNNNNNNNNNNNNNNNNNNNNNNNNNNNNNNNNNNNNNNNNNNNNNNNNNNNNNNNNNNNNNNNNNNNNNNNNNNNNNNNNNNNNNNNNNNNNNNNNNNNNNNNNNNNNNNNNNNNNNNNNNNNNNNNNNNNNNNNNNNNNNNNNNNNNNNNNNNNNNNNNNNNNNNNNNNNNNNNNNNNNNNNNNNNNNNNNNNNNNNNNNNNNNNNNNNNNNNNNNNNNNNNNNNNNNNNNNNNNNNNNNNNNNNNNNNNNNNNNNNNNNNNNNNNNNNNNNNNNNNNNNNNNNNNNNNNNNNNNNNNNNNNNNNNNNNNNNNNNNNNNNNNNNNNNNNNNNNNNNNNNNNNNNNNNNNNNNNNNNNNNNNNNNNNNNNNNNNNNNNNNNNNNNNNNNNNNNNNNNNNNNNNNNNNNNNNNNNNNNNNNNNNNNNNNNNNNNNNNNNNNNNNNNNNNNNNNNNNNNNNNNNNNNNNNNNNNNNNNNNNNNNNNNNNNNNNNNNNNNNNNNNNNNNNNNNNNNNNNNNNNNNNNNNNNNNNNNNNNNNNNNNNNNNNNNNNNNNNNNNNNNNNNNNNNNNNNNNNNNNNNNNNNNNNNNNNNNNNNNNNNNNNNNNNNNNNNNNNNNNNNNNNNNNNNNNNNNNNNNNNNNNNNNNNNNNNNNNNNNNNNNNNNNNNNNNNNNNNNNNNNNNNNNNNNNNNNNNNNNNNNNNNNNNNNNNNNNNNNNNNNNNNNNNNNNNNNNNNNNNNNNNNNNNNNNNNNNNNNNNNNNNNNNNNNNNNNNNNNNNNNNNNNNNNNNNNAACUUCAACAUGAGGGGGGGGGGGUCGAUAUACCCCCUCCCCGAUAAUAUUAUUUUCCCAUGUACGUAUGUCGUCGUUGUCAAUAUAACCCCCUCUCGAUAACUUCAACACGUGGGGGGGGGGUCGAUAUACCCCCUCCCCAAUAACAUUAUUUUCCCAUUUAUGUAUGUCGUCGUUGUCGAUAUAUAUAACUCCCUCCCAGAGAACUUUGACAUGAUGGACGGUCGAUAUUUAUACCCCCUCUCGACCGUGAUAACUUAUACCACGGGAGCACCCCCCGGCCCUCUCGCUCGACCAAAACUCUCGAGGACACCCAAACCCUAGAAAAAAACGAUGUUGGUCUCCUACCCCCUCCCGCCGCGCCCCUACCCUUGAAGCGUUGCCUAGGCCACCCCAAACCCGGAAUAAGCUAGGUCUACGUUUGCACUAAUAUAUCCACCUGCUGUCAUGUUUGUGUAAUAAUUGCCAUGUUGUAAUAUUUGCAGAAACAAUGGAGCACGGACGAGAUGAGCAAGCAGAAGAGGUGUGGGGGGACAUAAUCUUAGCCGGAGGUGAUAUCUUGUCGUAUCUUAACGACAAUGAUGGUCUGGAAGAACAGGGUGAAGAAGCAGGCUACGGUGAUCGAAGAGUGGAGGAGGAAAGACAUGAUUAUGAUGGCUCCGGUGACCCAAUGCUGGUGCAAGAAGGAGCCUGUGGUGACGGCUCCGGUGACCGAACAGAGUCCGGCCAGGUAAAUAUAUUAGUUAAGCCUGUGCUGACUAGCUAAUUGAUGCAUUCAUUGUUUUGGUAUGUACACAUAUUAAUUAACACUCGUCUUUCUUCUUUUUUCUAGGCCUCCGGAUCGACCACAACUUCGGUAAAGAGACGAGGCCCGAAGAGAAAGUUGCGCUCGGAUGAAAGGUUUGAGAUCACAGCAAUCGCGCGCAACGGCCAACCGAUUGAACCCAUCCGGACAAAGGAUGCAUUUGCUGCUCAGUGCAGGGUUCUAGUUAGGGACAAGAUCCCGAUCAGCAUCCACCAAUGGUAUAAGCCUAAGAAGGAAGACCCUGAGGUGUCUUAUGUCAACGAUAUGCAGAAAGAUGAUCUUUGGACUGAGCUGAAGGCAAAUUUCACCCUACCGCCAGAGGAGGAUCUGGAGAAGCCAGUUAAAGAGCAAUUAAUCAAGUCUCAUGCUCUUAAGAAGAUGGCAUACCUAUUCAGGAGGUGGAAGAAUGAGCUGAAAACGUUUGUCGACAAAGAAGAGACACCAGAAUUCAUCGGCCGGUAUGAGAAGAUCAGAGAUCACUGGCCCGCAUUUGUGGCCCACAAGACAUUGGAAAAGAGUAAGAAGAUGUCAGCGACAAACAAGAAGAAUGCUGCGAAGAAGAAGCUUCACCAUCGCACGGGGUCAGGUGGCUACCUCAAAGGCCGGCCUAAGUGGGCCAAGGCUGAGAAUGAUCUGCUUGAAAAAGGGAUCAAACCACAGACAAUGAACUGGACAGACCGUUGCCGGACUUGGUUCUUCAGGGCUGGCGGAAAAUUGGACCCUGUAUCAGGGAGGUGCGUUUGGACGAAUGAGCUUUUGCGAAUACCAGUCAAGAAGAUUCAGCAAUAUAUUGAUGCAACGCAUGAAGGGACGUUCGUUCCAGACAGAGAGAACGAUGAGCUCACAAUGGCCCUCGGGAAUCCUAAGCACCCUGGACGGACACGAGGCACGCCAGGCUCCGUUCGUGGAAGGCUGGUUUUCCGGACGCAGGCGGUUACAAAAGCCAGGAGAGGAGGAAAAAAAUGGAGCAGACCCAAAUUCAGAAGCUGCACGAAAGGGUUCAAGCGCUAGAGGAACGAGACGGCAAUCGACAUGCCGAAACUACCCCCGAAGCUACCCUGCCAUCUCAGCGGAGAAGCAGCGUGGCUUCCACUGAGCUGCUUCAGUCGGAGCAUGUCUUGACGGCUCCUGCUAGCUACCCCGUGGAUUCUAUCACGGAGUCUCAACAUUGCCACCUUAUGGCGCAAUGGCAGAACUUCAAAGUCAAGGCGGCUGUUGGCUCUGUUUUACCUCCUGAACCCGGCGCAACCUACCACUACCGGCCGAUUCCAGAAGGAUAUGCUAGGGUGAUGGUGGAUGAAAUAACGGAGGGAUUUG
RNAcentral lists this long non-coding RNA (45264 nucleotides) under Triticum aestivum (bread wheat). RNAcentral's name for it is "long non-coding RNA (TAES_LNC000803)". The record is from RNAcentral. Lineage: Eukaryota; Viridiplantae; Streptophyta; Magnoliopsida; Poales; Poaceae.